CUCAUUCUUUUUUAGGUUUUUCCCUUCUUUUUUUUUUUUUUUUUUUUUUGAAUGGUUGGGAUAUCCUUUUACUCUCACAAUUGAUGAUUUUUUUGGAUUGCAUUAACUAACAAGUUCGGUGCAUCAUUAAGGAGAAAAACAAAAUCAAUACACAGGUAACAUAAGUAAUAUCGUACUGAACUAUGCACGUUAAGAGCAACUAUGCUCGCUCUGGAUAUGUAUAUAACAUGAAAUAUUUUCAUACUCAGGAAAGCCAAAAUAUAGAAUUCAGUACACAGAAAAACAACUUGAAAACAGGUUCUGUUCUAAAACCAUGCUAGUCACAACUAAAGCAGACCAGUUGACGGCACAAACUACCGAAAUGAGCUUAAAAAAAACAAGUUCACAUGUAUACGUCUAGCCCAAAAUAGGUCAUCCAGUUUUGCUAAAAUUUUCCCCUGGCAUCUUGAAAAACUAUAACAAUACCCAGGACAUCAAACAACCAAGAGACACUAACCUGAAGUUGAAAUUUGUUUCUUACAUGUUUAAUAUGGUAACUAAAUAAUAUUAUGAUUUUUCCCACAAGGGAAUAACUAGCCUGGCUAACCAAUGCUUGAGCUGAGAAAAAUCAGGCUUCAGCUAAUACCUGUUAAUUGUAGAGCCAAUGUAGUCUCAUUCUUAACCAGCCCCAGCCCCUAUCCCAGUCCCUUUCUAAAAAUUUCUACUUCAGUACCUAAAACGUGAAUAUAAGCACAAGCAUUUUGCAGAGGUUGCAAGGAAACAGAAACAAAAAGUAUUCUCUGGUGCUAGACUUAAGUAGAAAGAUACAAGCUCAACAGAUAGAUUGAAAUUUUAAAACAGAACAUCUCAAGGAGGAGAUAAGUUAAGGGAGGAAUGGCAGUUUGAAUUUGUAAAAUAAUCAAAAAUAAUUAUUACCCGAGCUUCACAAACCCAAAAUUCCAUAUGCACACUCGUGUACAACUAAUUCUAGCAUGCCGAAUUCAAGGUUCACAAGCCAGAAACUAACAGAAACUAACUACGCAGGCGUUUUCCAGUGGCUUAGAAGAGCUAACCACAUGAAUAGAAACAAAACUACAUAUAAAACUGAUCUAUAUAUCCGACAUAUCACAUUUAAAAAUAGUCUAGGAUCAAGUAGCUACCUUCAGCAAUACAAUGGAAGUUUUAGCAAAAGAAAAAGAAUAACCAUCCUUUUCCCACCAUUAAGAAAAUCCAAAAUGCACUUGUGAGGUCAAUCCGCAAAGAAAUUAAAAGAAAUACUUCAAAAAUUAUAGUUCAACAUCAUGGAAAAAUCAUAAAAGUAGUAACAAACCUUCGCUGUGUUUCUAAAUUGAUCAAGACAAAAUUCACUGUUAGAAUAAGAUCUGAGUUCACAUUGUCAUAGCCAUCGUUGAGGACACCAACAGAUGGGCUAGUCAAAAACCGCUUUGGAUUCAAUUCUUCUGAAUAUUUAAAUUGUGAGUUGCAUAUUUGGUACGUUUCAAUUAUGUCCUUUGUCAGUCUUGCCACCAACUGCACAGUUAAAGCUGCAUGUCAGCACAAAGAUUUGCCUUAUAUGAGUCCAUCCAUCCUGCAAGGGUUCUCCUUUUCCUUUUCUUUUGUACUUCUUGGGUGUAAAAGAUAUACAAAAUCAUAUGGAAAACCCAAGCAAGAUCUAUUUCGUAUUUCAUAUUCAGCAAUAUGCCAAUAAAUUUUUACAGUACAAAAUUCAGUGCCAACUCUUUAGUGCGUAAUCUCAUACUUCCUCAAACAGCGAUCACAUUCAGACAUUGAAACAUGAAUGUCGAAAAUAAGACAAGAAUAGACAACAUUAUGCACAAGGCAAAAAAGAGGUAUUCGAUAAUAGAUCAUUAAGUGGCUAGGAGGAGAAUAUCCAUAUUGGUAAGGGCAGUGUCAGGACAGGAUUUAACAACCCAACAGGUGAAUGACAAACAAAUAACCAUCCAUGCCCUCAUCAAGACUCGUAUUGUUCAAGGAGUCUCUGCUCCCUAGUUUAUCUUUUUAAUGGACAUCAUAAAUCAGUCCGAAUUGUAUUAGCUCGAGGCUUGUCAGAGUAGAUAGAGCUUGGGAUCUAAAACCAAUUCAGUAAUCUUACUAUGCUAAUAUAAUAUCAAUACAUUGCAUUCUUCUACUGGGAUGCAAUUUGACCACCUAUUCAGCUUAAGCAUUCAGACAUGGCACAUUAUAGUUACCAAAAUAAGUAAACAUUUCCCAUUCAUGUUCACAGCUUUCUAUGAUGUAUUUGCAAGUAGUGAAGCAUUUACCCUGCACAUGGAGAGUGGAGACAAUAAGGAACAGUCUCUUCUGACCUCUACAUUGCUUAUAUGUUUACAGUUUACAUAUGCUUUCCUUAUGCUAAACAGAAUCACUAAUCAAACCACAACUAAAACCAGCUGAACAUCAGUAAAUCAAUAACAAUUUAAACUCAAACCCAAAUGAAAAGCUCCUGAGCUUUCAACACGUUUCAACAUGCCAAAGAAAUACCUUACAAACUUUUGAACUAAAAAUGAGCAGACAAUUAGAAAAAAGAGAACUUACAGGCCUCCUGACAACAACACGCAGCUUUCUAUCAGCUUCGUUUCUAGUUGAGUAAGGCCAAAAAACCAGCUGCCUCGGCCUCCACCGCAUAGCAGAGCCUUCAUCGGAGCCCGAUUCUGAGGUCCUCGGAGGCUCUCCUUGAUUACUAGGACCAACUUCAUCCAUAGCUAUCCUCCAGAAAGAAUCAACGUUUUCUAACCCCAAAAUUUACCAUCAUCCCCAAUAGCUCCAUUAAAGAAGAAACCACUCAAAAUACCAUAAAAGCAAGAAAAACCCCAAAUUUCAUCAGCAAUCGGAUUGUAGUCAAGAUUGAAACUAGUUAUUUUUCAAAGACCAAUCAGCUAACUCAAAUCCCAUUCCUUUUUUUUUUUACAUUAAUUCUAUUAUUCAAAACCUAAACACAGAAGAAUCAGAAAACUGGAGACCCAGGGUGAUCCAGAUAUGAUAAAAGAACAACCCAAAAUUUGAUUAAAAUAAACAAAGGAUUGAAAUUUUUCAUAUAUUAUAAAUAAAUAAAAAUGCAACAAAACCCCCCACAAAAAGUAGAUUUUAACAAAAUAACCCGAAACUUAGAUUAUAAAGAAGAAAUGCGAGAAAGAAAGAUGGAAAGAUGAAGAAAUAGAUAGAAACAGAGAGUUUCUUUUUUUGGUUCUAAGGACAAAGGCACCGUGCUUCUUCCUUUCUACCUCCCAAUAGGAGUUUUUUUUUUUUUUUUUGCCUUUUUAGAUUUUUCUUUGAUGACUGGCGUUGAAACACUGUACAGUGGCAUUUCCCUUAUUUAUUUAUUCCAUUCUAUUAUUUCUGUAAAUUUGUUAUUCAUCGAUGUUUCCUUUUAGAUUUUAUCAUUUUAUGUCCUUUUUUUUAUUGGCAGUAAAUGUGUUUGGAAUUUAUUUAUUUAUUUAUUGGAUUUCUUUUUCUUUCUAAAAUUGAAAAUUACUAUUUAUCAAAUAAAAAAGGUUUUUAUUUAUAUUUAAUAUAAAUCUAAAAUUUUAUACAAACACCGAAACUAACAACACAUUUUCAAUUAAUCCAAAAUAAUUUUUAAUAUUUUAUAAAUCUCGGUUUGAUUUUAUUCACACUAGUUUAAUUUUGCACAUUUAAUCCCUACAAUCUAAAGUUAAAAUUUUAACCUUUUUUUUAUUUUUCAAUUUAAAAUCUUACUUAAAUCAUCAUUUCUAUUAGUAAUUUUGUCAAAAAAUUUUAAUUAACAUGUAUAUAUUAUGUUAAUUAUGUCACGUCAAAAUUAAAAUUAAAAAUUUUUAAUAAAAAAUAUUUAGUAUAAAUGAUUAAAUUGAUAUUUUAAAUAUAAUAAUUAAAUCUCAAAUUUUAUCUAAACAUUUCAACUUUUUUUAUUUAUUACUUUGGUUUUUUUUAUUUAAAUGAAAUCAUUAAGUAAUAAAUGUUAAAUUAGAGUAAAAUAGUGAGAGGGAAAAUUAAGAACAGAAGGUGGUUCAUUGUCUGAAUCCAAUCCAAAAAAUGUUUCAAAACAUUAAUUAAGACAUGUUGAUGAUGUCCUUUUUAAGGUUUUUAUUUUAGUGGUUCAAAAAGAAAAUACAAUUUCUCUCUAUACAUAUGGUAAGUGUUUAGGUUGGAUCAAGAAAUAGGUAGAUUUAUACCUUUAGUCAUUAAACUAAUUUUACUUCCAUUAGAAAUUUAAGGACUUUAAUAGGUAAAAGUAAAAGAUUAAGGGCUUAUUUAAGGUUAAAUUAUUUUAUUAGUCCUCGUACUUUUUGAAAGUUGUGAAUUUAAUCCUCGUACUUUAAAUUGGUUGAUUUUGAAACUUUAGUGUCGACUCAAACGAUAGCAGUAAAUUUUAUUUGGUUAAAUUCAAUUACUAGUCGUGUCCAUAUUCUCCAAUUGGAUCUUCUAAAUCCAUAUACUUUUUCAAAUUUUGAAAUUUCAGUAUUGACGCAAAUGACAAUUAUUAAUCUACCAAUUGGAUUUUUAGUGAGUAAUUUGUGGAAACAACAAGUGGACAUGACAUUACAUAUAUGAUGACAUAUUUGUCACAUCCAAUUUUGGAAAUAACAAAACUUAAUGAAUUUAACAACUAUUGCUUGGUGAGGACUAAAGUUUUAAAAUUUUAAAAAGUACAAGAACUAAAAAAGGCCAAAUUAAAGUUCAAUGACUGAAUCCACAAUAUUAGUAGAGUACAAGGACUAAAAAUAAUCAAAUUAAAUUACAUUGACUAAAUUCACAACUUUCGUAAAGUGCAGGGACUAAUAGCAGAGUUUAAUCCUUAUUUAACUACAAAAAUAGUAGCUUAAGGACUUUUUUUGACAUAUUAGCCCCAAAACGCAUGAUUUGUUUUAAAUUUAACAUAAUAUAACAUUUAGCCUUCAAUGUUUACAUUUUUUGUCAACGUAGCCCUUAUUAUUUUUUUAGCUAAAAUUGACCAUCAACCUUUUUAAAAAAAAUCAAAUCACUUUUUUAACUAAAAAUUAAAAUUUUUAAUGAUGUUGGAGUGACAAUCCACAUGUCUUCAUACUGACAUGACACUAUGUAUCUCAUAUGCCACGCCAAUAAAUAAUUUUAAAAUUAUAAAAAAUUCAAAAAAGUAAUAAUUUAGAAAUUUAAUAUAUAUUUCAUAAAAAAUAAAAAAUUACAAUGAGUACAUGUUUAAAAAUUUAAUGUUCAAUCAAUAUUUCAGUCAAAAAACAAGGUUAAUAGUCAAAUAUGACCCCUUUUUUUUAGGUUGAGGGUUAAAUUAAGCUUUAAAAAAAGAAUAAGGUCCAAAUUGAUAAAUGAUGUAAAUAUUGAGGACUAAAUUUGGCAUUAUACCUUCUAAAUUUUAUGUUUUGGGUUUUGUUAAUGAUGGCCUGCCAAAGCCCAACCAAAGAACCCAUUAAACAGAUUAUUUUGGGCUUAUAUAUGAGUGGGACCUGGGUUUAGCAAUCUUUAUGCCAUAGGGAUUAGUGAAUGACGAGAGAGGUUGAGAUUAAUGGUUCAUUUCUUAAGUGGGCUAAGUUCUAAGUGGCUAAUAUCGUUACUGUUCCAUUACGAGGAACUCCAAGGAUUAAAGGAGGUACACUCCUGUUGUUGGAUGGUGAGGGAAAAUCUAUGUAUCCAAGUCCAACCAUGCUUUAAUGUUUUUCCUGGUUCACUCCUGGGGUGGAGCAAGAUUUUAUAUUCAUUUUAUAUCCUUAUUUAAUAGUGUCAUUUUAUUCCAAUUAUCAGAGAAAAAAGAAUCCAAAAUUCUAGCUCCGUUGGCACGAGGAAGUUGAGAUUGUGAAGAACAUAUGAUUUAAUCCCUUACUCAUUUUAUAAAGACGGGUGAAAAAACAGGAGAGAAUCGGGUGUUAUUGUUUUUAUUUUAACGAGAUAAAUUAAAUACAAAAUCUAAAGUUUAGAAUGGUUAAAAUUUUUUUAGUUUUAAAUUUAUAAUCAGGUAAGUUAUACAAAUAAAUUUUAUAAUGAUGUAAUAUAUAUUUUCAUGACUUGUUAUUUACUUAGUGUGGGUUUGGAUAGGCAAUUGGGUGCAAUGUAGUGCGUUUAACUUACUUUUUGUCCUACGCUACAGUAUCGCCGCCACCGCUGUUUUUACACUAACUGCAGGUAAACGCACCGUCCAUCUAAACUUACCCUUAAUGUGUAAAAACUUUUAAUCCCAAAGUUUACACUAGAAACCCACUUCGUCUAGACAUUUAUUUUGGUUGAAUAUCUGGAAAUGAUGUUUUGUAGGUCCCACACUACACCAAAACAGGCUUUUAGCGGUAUUUUUAGCGGCGUUUGGAUAAAAAACGCCGCUAAAGAUCGAUCAUUAGCGACACUUUAUAAAAAAUGCCGUUGAAAUUUAGAAUUAGCGGCGUUUUCCAAAAAGCGCCGCAAAAAACUAAGCCCAAAGGCGCCGUUUUCAGAGCUUUCGAGGAUUUAGCGGCGUUUUUAAGAAAGCGUCGCUAAUGCUCAGGGCUUUAGCGGCGUUUUUGGGAAAGCGCCGCAAAAAAAACUAAGCCCAACGGCGCCGUUUUGUAAGCUUUCGGAGAUUUAGCGGCGUUUUUAAGAAAGCGCCGCUAAUGCUCAGGGCUUUAGUGGCGUUUUUGGAAAAGCGCCGCAAAAAAACUAUGCCCAAUGGCGCCGUUUCUGAGCUUUCGGGGAUUUAGAGGUGCUUUUAAGAAAGCGCCGCUAAUGCUCAAGGCUUUAGCGGCGUUCUUGGGAAAGCGCCACAAAAAAACUAAGCCCAACGGCGCCGUUUUCUGAGCUUUUGGGGAUUUAGCGACGUUUUUAAGAAAGCGCCGCUAAUGCUCAAGGCUUUAGCGGCGUUUUUGGGAACACGCCACAAAAAAAACUAAGCCCAACGGCGCCGUUUUCUGAGCUUUCGGGAAUUUAGCGGCGUUUGUAAGAAAGCGCCGCUAAUGCUCAGGGAUUUAAAAUAAUUUAAAUUAUUUGUUAAAAAUGGAAAAAUUAAAAUACUAUUAUUUAAAAUAAUUUUAAAGUUUUUUGGAUACAUUAUUGAUUUUUUUAGCUUAUAUAUUAAAUAAUUUCUUAUAUAAUCGUAAAAGAGAUAGUAUUAAUUUUAAAAUAUUGAAUUAAUUAUCACUAUAGUAUAUGGUUUAGAGUUUAAAGAGUAGGCCGGGAUAUGGAUUUAGGGUUUGUGAUUUAAGGUUUAAAGGUUAAGUUCUACGUUUUAGGGGUUAGGGGAUUUAGGGUUAGAGGUUAGGGAUUUAGGGUUUAAGGUUUCAACAGUUAGGUUAGAGUUUAAUUUUAGAUUAAUUAGUUUUAUUAAUUUUUAUAUUAAAUAUGUUCUUAUAUAUUUCUAAAAUAGAUAAUAAUAAAUUUAAUAUAUUGAAAUUAUGAGUAUAUAGUUUAUAUUAUUUAAGAGUUAUAUAAUAGAUAGAUGAUCACUUUAUGCAAGUAGAUUGAUUGGCUAAUUUUGGGUUUAAGCUUAAACCUUAAGUUUUAUAAAUUGAAACUUGUUAAAUGAUACAAUUAAUUAAUACUUGUAUAUUUAAAAACAUUUAAACCUAACCAUUUGAUAUUUUUGAUAUGGAUCGAUAUAUAUAUACACACAGGUAAUUAAUUAUUUAAAUUGGAUAGGACCAAAAUAUAAGAAAAGAUAAAAUAAAAAAAUAUAAAUGAAAUAAAAAACUAAAAUUUAUACAUGUAUCAAAUACUUUUAAAUAUUACUUAAAAUUUUAAUAAUUAUUUACGUAAAAUUUAAAGGUCUUGUUCUUUAGCGGCGUUUGUGGUGGAAGCGCCGCUAAAGGUCAUUGUUGUAGGCCAAUUUUAGCUCAUUUACAUCAAAACCCAAUUUAGCCUUACCUAACCCACUAAAAUUAAACCCAAAACCCAAAAUCUUAACUACCCAAAGCCAAAUUUACAUCAAAACCCCAAUGGCCCAAACCCUAAGCCCAAAUCAAAAUAAAAAAAACCUAGCCCACAACUUAAACUUUUCUCAACUAGCCACUCAUUUUCCACCACCAACUCCACUAGCCACACCUUUUCCAGCACCAACUCCACUAGCCACUCUUUUUCCACCACCAACUCCACUAGCCACACCUUUUCCACCACCAACUCCACUAGCCACUCUUUUUCCACCACCAACUCCACUAGCCACACCUUUUCCACCACCAACUCCACUAGCCACUCUUUUUUCCACCACCAACUCCACUAGCCAUUCUUUUUCCACCACCAACUCCACUAGCCACACCUUUUCAACCACCAACUCCACUAGCCACUCUUUUUCCACCACCAACUCCACUAGCCACACCUUCUCCACCACCACUUGUACCUACAAAUGAAGACAUAAACAAUAAAAAAAUAUAUUUUGUAAAUGGCUAUAUAAGCCUUCUCAUAUUUUGUAUAUGGGGGGGAUUUUUUUUGGAGAGUUUUAGGGGGGAUUUUUUUUUUUUGGAGAGUUUUUGGGAGAGAAAGUUAUUGCAAAGGAUUUUUAGAGAGGUUUCUUUUUAAAGUAAUUAAGGAGAAGAGUUAUUGUGAAGGCUAGUUUUUGGAGAAGCUAGUUUUUUUGAAGAUUAAUCAAAGAUCAAAGCAAAAGAGGUUUCUUUGUCUAUUCUCAUUUUAAGUUCUUUGUUUACUUAUUGUUUUCCUUUCAAUCUUAUUUUGUUUCUUUUAUACGAAAGUAAAAAAAUAAAAGGAGGAAGCUUACCCAUUUUUACCGAAAAAGUUUUUUUGAGGUCCGGCUGCCGUAUACGGUGGCGCCGGCGGCGGUCCGGUGACCGGACGAUGGCCGGCCUUGUGGCCGAAAAUCAUCCACCCUCUCCCUCUCUCUCCUUUUUUGUUAUUAUUAUAUUUAUUAAUAUUAUAUUAUAUAUAUUCUUUUAAUAUAUUAGGUAUAUUUUAAAUUCUAUAUUACGUAUAUAUAUAUUUUAUACUAUUUUAUGCAUAUAUCUUUAAUAUUAUAUUAUUUAUAUAUAUAUAUUUUUACAUGUUAUCUUAUGUAUAUAUCUUAACUAUAUUAUGUAUGUAUUUUUAACACUAUAUUAUGUACAUAUUUUUAAUAUUAUCACGUAUUUAUUUUUUAUAUAUGUACAUAUUGAUGUAGUAUUAUUAAUAGUAUUGAUUUUUAAACAUCAUUAUUAUUUCUAAUAUAUAUAUAUUAUGUACAUUUUUUUAUUUCUAUUUUAUUUUUUAUUUGUCAAUAUUAAUUAUUAUUAUUCUAAUAUUUUGAUAUUUUGAUAUUUUAUAUUUUAUAUAUUUUAUUAUUCACAUCAUUAUUCGCAUUUUUUGACAAUAAUAUUCUUGGAUUUUUUUUUACUAUCAUUUUAAAAACUUUUUACAUUUUAAUUUUAAGAAUAAGGCAAUGUACCGAUUUUAACAUUAAGUCAUUGAUUUCAUCGCUAUGUUGGGUGAAAUUAAUCGGCUCGUGUUAAAAACGGGACGUCCUUCUAAAAAACAAAAAAACUUGCAACUUCUCAUUUCCUUCAAUCGGAUCACACUUAAAUGUCAAAUUGAAUUCGUAUUUUUGAAAAUCAAGACAACAUGUGUUUAAUAAGAUACCAAUUUUGGGCGUCGCGAGGGUGCUAAUACCUUCCUCGCGCGUAACCGACUCCCGAACCCUAAAUUUUCUCUGGAUUUCAACGUAGACCUAAACUUAGCCUUUUAUUUGUUUUAAUAAGAGAUCUAAUAGGUGUCCGAUCACACCUAGGAAAAAGGAUCGGUGGCGACUCCCUGUUUAUUUCAAAAAUCAAACGUCAAAUUUCAAACUUUUUUUCAAUAAAUCGCCACAAUUAGCGACCAAGCUAAGCUAAAAUUUUUACGUCGCUACAGCUGGCGACUCCACUGGGGACAGCCUUUUUGAGAGUCGUGUCUGGAAUUAAACACGUUUUGUCAAAAUUUUCAAAUCUUCUUGUUCAAAGUAAAUAUUUGGUCUUGAUCCGAAAAUCUCGUUUUCAAAAUUCAUGCAUUUGUAUCGUGCUGUAAAUAUUUCUUCUAACUUGCUUAUUUGGUUGUUUUUCAGUUUUCAAUUUUUAUGGUUUUAAUUUUGGUUUAGUUUCUUUAAGUGAAACGUAAAGGUUUAUGAGUUGUUCCCCACACACCGUGCACUUGCAUUUUCGCAUAACAUGAGCUCUCUACCCAGGCUCUGUCCGUUUAAGUGAAAGUAAACACUACGCCUUCGUGAGUUAACUCGUCCCUCCGCACAGGCUAGUGAAUACUUUCGGGUUACAUAUGACUUAUGCUUUCGUGAGUUAACUUGUCCCUCCGCAUAGGCAUAAGUAAAUGUAAUCCCUCGAAUUGAACUCGUGAGCCUGUGAUAGGCUAUGACCGAGGCUCCGUGCUAAUCUCAGCAGAUGAUAGUACGAGCAAUUCGAGUACCUGUCUAGAACCAAAACCGCAUAUAGUGAACCAUACGAGCCACCCAACUAGAGCCAUGCCGAACCUCCGCUCGUUUAGUAGUCACCGAAAUAAGUACACGGGAAAAGCACAUCUUACCUUCUAUUUCUUUUACAUUUGUGCUUUCUAAGCAAGGGAAUCGAGUCCACUGGACCAAGUAGCUUAAUUUGUUAGAUUUUCCAUAGUUUUUCUCUGUUUAUAUGUGUUACGCUAACCAAGGUCGUUUGUCUGUAUUUUUAUUUUUCAUCAUGCAUCGAAGGCAUCUUGUUAGGAAGGUGUUGAUUAGAGAUUGGUUGCCAAAAACGGGUUUCUAAUGGAGGAGUCAAUUAUACGAGUGACCGAAACGUUGUGUAAUACUCAUUUGAUUAAGAAAAUGCCUAAAUAGGGGAUAUCUUGAAAUCAACACCAAUUUUUUUGCAUUCCUUGCAUAACUAAUAUUUUGACAUUCAUGCAUUCAUUCAUGCAUUCAUUCAUACAUUGCAUAUCCCAUACUCGAUCGCUGAAGAUAAAAUAUAUAAUUCGCAUUUGUAAUACCACAAGACUGGAACCACAUCAUCCGUAUAAAACGCGCCGACAAGCUAGAGUAAUGGAGAAUGAAUUCAAUGAGAGAAUUGAAAGGAUGGAAAGGGCUCAAAAGGAAUUACAAGAGCAACUGGCCAAAUCGCAACAAGAGACGAGAGACCUAAUGGUGAGAUCUCGAGAGGAAUCUCUCGAGCAAAGAGAUCAGAUGGCUAAAAUGAUGGAGAUGAUGACAACUUUGGUCAAAGGAAAAAUGCAGAACCCCGAUGUUAUGGAACCUCAAUCAAGAAUUCACCACGAUCAGGAUCCACUCUAUCCCCCGGGAUUCACUCUACCGCCCGCAUAUACAACACAAAGAGGGUAUACUCAAGAGGAACCCACUGGCUUGGAACAUCGACCUAUGCCACCUACUCCACCCACUAAUUUAGGGCAAGGAAUAUUCGCGUCGAAUCUAGGGGCUAGUCCUGCUGAUCCACUAGUUCCAGAUCUGGAUGACCCAGCAGAGGUAGUCAAGUUGAAAUUGGAUAACCAUGACGCAAAAUAUAGGAGUCUAGAGGAAAGACUCAAAGCAAUAGAAGGCACUGAAGUCUUCUCCGCACUAGGUGCCAAGGAACUCAGUUUGGUACCUGAUCUAAUUUUGCCCCCGAAGUUCAAAGUGCCUGAUUUUGAGAAGUAUGAUGGGACAAGGUGCCCAAAAGCACAUCUCAUUAUGUUCUGUCGGAAAAUGACCGGUUAUGUGAACGAGGAUAAACUACUCAUGCAUUGCUUUCAAGAUAGUCUAACAGGGUCAGCUCUUCGGUGGUACAAUCAACUUAGUAGAGAAAAGAUUCGAUCCUGGAAGGACUUGGCGUCAGCAUUUUGCGAGCAGUACAAGCAUGUAUCGGAUAUGGUGCCAGACCGUAUGACCUUGCAAAUGAUGGAGAAAAAGCCAUCAGAGACUUUUAGACAGUAUGCGCAGAGAUGGAGAGACGUCUCAGCUCAAGUGGAACCCCCAUUAACAAAAACGGAGAUAACCGUUCUCUUUAUCAAUACUUUAAAGGCGCCGUUUUAUGACAAAUUAGUGGGAAGUGCCACGAAAGAGUUUGCGGAUAUUGUAAUAUCUGGUGAACUCAUAGAGAAUGCCGUCAAGAGCGGUAGAAUGGAAGGAUCAGAAGGCUUAAGAAAAGUAGCACCCUUAAGGAAGAAAGAGCCAAAAGCCCACAUGGUGGGAACUGGGAGUCGUUACAUUCUCAAUUCGUAUCCUAACCAACCCCGACCUCGAAAUUAUCCACCCCCGAAUUUCUAUUAUCCCCCUCAAACCCCUUACUACCAAGCACCACAUCCGUCCUGCCCCGUAUACGCCACGAACAACCAAAGACCCGUCACCACUUUCCCACAAAACACGGUACCCGCCCAAAGCCAACCCAGAAACAAACCAAGACCAUCAAGGCAUAAUCCCGAGAGACCGCAAUUUACCCUCAUCCCUGUGUCGUAUGGGGAAUUGUACCAAAAACUUUUAGAAAAAUAGCUAAUUUCUCCUCAUUACAUGGCACCCCUUAAACCUCCAUACCCAAAGUGGUACGAUCCAAACGCUAGUUGUGCAUACCACGCAGGGAACCAAGGGCACUCUACUGAGAACUGUCUCGCUUUCAAAAGGAGAGUUCAAGGACUCAUUGACGCGGGUAUCCUACGAUUCGAUAGUGCUAGUAACGCCACGGGAAACCCGUUCCCUAACCAUACCGAAGAGAAUGUGAGCACAGUGGGGAAAGAGGAUGAAUGGAAGGUCAGAAGAUGUGUAUCAAAAAUAAGGACGCCUCUGCAGAAAAUCUGGGAGGUAUUGGUUAAGAAAGGAUUGCUCUGUCACUCUGAUAGAAUUUUUGGAGAAGAAGGUCAAAGUUUUUACAAUUUUCAUGGGAUUGUUGGGCACGACAUUCAGUCGUGCGAGGACUUUAAAAGGUUACUUCAAGACCGGAUGAAUAAUAAGGAGAUCAAGAUCCUUAACAAGAGGGAAGAUGCCAACGAAAGAGAAGUAUGCGUCUUUGAUAGCCAAUCAUCAAGGCCCCCUUAUAGUGCUGAUCGACCGUUGGUAAUUUAUUACGACACGAUGAGAGAGCCAUUGAAACCACAGAUGGUAAUUGAAGUACCAUCUCCUUUCCCAUAUAAGGACAACAAAACAGUACCGUGGAGAUAUGAUGUUAAUAUCAUUACACCGGAAGUUGAAAAGUCCAAAGCCAUAACUGAAGAUGUUGGGGAGGUAGGUCAUUUUACUCGAAGUGGACGAUGCUAUUCUAAAGAAGUUGAACCGGUAAAGAAAAGUAGCGACUCGAAGCAAAAAGGGAAAGUAGUGAUGCACGAGGUCGAAGUCGAGUAAGAAAUUCCACCCGUGCAAGAAACUAAAAAGCCUGUGAAUGAGGAAGAAGCUCAAGAAUUCUUGAAAUUUAUUAAGCACAGUGAAUAUAGUGUGGUGGAACAAUUGAGCAAGCAGCCAGCACGAAUCUCAGUUCUAUCUCUACUGUUAAAUUCAGAGCCACACCGGAACGCUUUAUUGAAGGUGUUAAAUCAAGCUUACAUGGCCAACAACAUAGCUGUCGAAAAGCUUGAUAGGUGGGUAAACAAUCUGAAUGCGGACAACUUCAUCUCUUUUAGUGAUGAUGAGAUACCGCUAAAUGGUAGAGGUUCGGUGAAAGCGCUGCAUAUCACGACCCGCUGCAAGGGCUACAUAAUACCGAACGUACUCAUCGAUAAUGGGUCACCGUUAAAUGUUAUGCCAUUGGCUACGCUUUCCAGAAUACCGAUGGAUUUGUCCUACUUAAAGCCCUGUCAUUCCACGGUAAGGGCAUUCGACGGGACGAGGCGCGAAGUCAUGGGAAAGAUCGAAAUCCCUUUAGAAGUGGGCCCUUACAUCUAUGAGGUCGAGUUCCAAGUCAUUGACAUUACACCCUCUUAUAACUGCCUUUUGGGAAGACCCUGGAUCCAUUCUACUGGAGCAGUCCCAUCAUCCCUCCAUCAAAAGUUGAAAUUUAUCAUCGACGGCUGUUUGGUCACAGUCGAGGGAGAAGAAGACAUUGUCGCAUCUAUCUCUGCUGAUGCGCCAUACCUUGAAGUGAGCAAGGACGUAGUGGAAUGCUCCUUCCGAUCCCUUGAAUUCGUCAAUGCCACAUUCUUCACUGAGGGAAACAAAAUUCCCGUGCCUAAAUUGUCGAGAAAUACUAGAAUGGGUGUCAAGUUGACUGUAGGAAGGGGAGCUCGAGUGAGAAGAGGUUUAGGGAGAUAUCUACAAAGAAUAGUCAGGGCUCUAAAACCAGUGCAUCUAAGGCCUAAUACGGUUUGGGGUUCCAGCCGGACAUGCGUCAAAGAAGAAGACAGUGGAAGAAAGAUUAAGAAAGAAGGAUCGCGAGAACCUUAGGCUGAGAACCAGAAUGGGAACCAAUAGAGUACCCUCCUUUGUCAAAAACAUUUACAUCUGCGGGAAUGAUGUACCCUGGACAAGAGGAUCCACGAAACAUGCUGGGAUUAAUUGAAAAAGAUUUUCAGAAUGCUAGUAUAAAUGUCAUUGACAAAGAAGCUGGUGCAAGUAAAGAUGUCUCGAGGAUACGCCAUUGCCCUCCUGGUUUCAUGUUGAACAAUUGGAUUGCUGAGGAGCUUCUUGUAGUUUAUAAGCCUUCAGAGUAAUGCCAAACAUCAACCUUCUAUUGUAUCCUUAGAUAUAAUAGAGUUCUUUUGUAAGAGUUUGCAUUCGCUCUUUAUCAUUUAAAUGAAUUUCAAUGAAGAUGUAUUUUGUCAUGAUUUUUCGCAUUAUCACUAAUUUCAUAAUCAUUUUCUCAUUUCAUAGCCUAUCCUUACAUUUGCCUCAUUGCCAUGACAUAACAUUUUGUUUGUUGUUUCCAAUACUUGGAUGUCCCCCGAUAGCUUCCUUUUCCAUUCAACUUUCAGGUGCUCAGAUAUUGACGACAUGAAUAAGCCCGUUACGAAUCUUGAAAUUGAUUUUGAGAAGGCUGUUUGCUUAGGAGAAUUUGAAGCCGAAGAAAAUGCUGAAGAUUAUGUCUCGUCUCCUGAAUUGUUAAGGAUGGUGGAACAAGAGGAUAAUCAGGUUCUGCCUCAUGAAGAAUCUGUGGAAACAAUAAAUUUGGGCACUGAAGAGAGGAAACAAGAAGUGAAGAUUGGGACUUCUAUUUCAGAAAGUACCAGGCAUAGUUUGAUCACUUUACUCCGCGAAUACAAAGAUGUUUUCGCGUGGUCAUACCAGGACAUGCCAGGGCUAGAUGAAGAUUUAGUGGUCCAUAAGCUCCCAUUAAAGCCAGAAUGCAAGCCCAUCCAGCAAAAAUUAAGACGGAUCAGGCCCGAAAUGCUGUUGAAAAUAAAAGAGGAAGUCAAGAAGCAAUUUGACGCUGGCUUCCUACAAGCCUCCAAAUAUCCAGAAUGGGUGGCUAACAUAGUCCCGGUACCAAAGAAAGAUGGAAAAGUACGAAUGUGCAUGGAUUACCGUGACCUGAAUCGAGCAAACCCAAAAGAUAAUUUUCUCUUGCCACAUAUUGACACGUUGGUGGACAACACAGCAAAAUAUUCAUUGUUUUCUUUCAUGGAUGGAUUCUCGGGGUAUAAUCAGAUCAAGAUGGCCCCUGAGGAUAUGGAGAAAACUACCUUCAUAACAAUGUGGGGAACGUUCUGCUACAAGGUGAUGCCAUUCGGGUUAAAGAAUGCUGGGGCAACAUAUCAGAGGGCUAUGGUGACAUUAUUCCAUGACAUGAUGCAUAAGGAAAUAGAGGUCUACGUCGAUGAUAUGAUUGCUAAAUCUCGAGGAGAAGAAGAACAUGUGAUGAACCUCAAGAAGUUGUUCGAAAGGCUGAGAAAGUUUCAGCUAAAGCUUAAUCCAGCCAAAUGUACAUUCGGGGCUACCUCGGGAAAAUUGUUAGGCUUCAUUGUUAGUGAAAGAGGUAUCGAAGUUGAUCUAGAUAAAAUAAAAGCCAUCCAAGAAUUACCUCCCCCGCGCAUACAAAAGGAAGUCAGGGAUUUUUAGGGAGGUUGAAUUACAUUGCUCGAUUCAUUGCUCAACUUACCAACCAAUGCGACCCAAUUUUUCGACUCCUUCGAAAACAUAACCCGGGAGAAUGGAACGAGGAGUGCCAAGUGGCCUUCGAUAAGAUAAAACGGUAUCUGUCUAAUCCUCCUGUGCUAGUACCACCGACCCCUGGAAAACCCUUAAUUUUGUACCUGACCGUGUUUGAAAACUCAAUGGGUUGCGUACUGGGGCAACAUGAUGAGUCAGGGAGAAAAGAAAAGGCGAUCUACUACCUCAACAAAAAGUUCACUGAAUAUGAGGCAAAAUAUUCGUCCAUUGAGAAAUAUUGUUGCGCUCUGGUUUGGGUAGCUCGGAGACUCAGACAAUAUAUGUUGUAUCACACGACAUGGCUAAUUUCAAAGCUGGACCCAAUAAAAUACAUGAUGGAAUCGCCGGCACUAUCAGAAAGAAUAGCACGAUGGUAGCUCCUCCUUUCGGAAUAUGACAUUGCCUAUGUAAGUCAGAAGUCAAUAAAAGGGAGCGCAAUAGCUGACUUCUUAGCAACUCGAAUGACAGAGGAAUAUGAGCCUUUAAGAUUUGAUUUCCCAGACGAAGACUUAAUGUGCAUCACAAAAAUAGAAUCCGAGUUAUCAAAAGAGAAGUCAUGGAAGAUGUGCUUUGAUGGUGCGUCAAAUGCUUUAGGGCAUGGAAUUGGAGCAAUCCUGGUAUCACCAGAUGGGAAUCAUUAUCCGUUCACUGCAAGACUGAACUUCUUCUGUACCAAUAAUAUCGCAGAAUAUGAGGCCUGUAUCAUGGGGCUUCGUGCAGCUAUCGAACGAAACAUCGAGAUCUUGGAGGUGUACGGGGACUCAGCCCUAGUGAUUUACCAAAUCCGUGGAGAAUGGGAAGUGAGGGACUCAAAAUUGAUUAAGUACAGUGAUUUAGUGGCUGGAUUGAUCAAGGAAUUCAAAGAAAUAACUUUUCAUUACUUCCCACGAGAAGAGAACCAACUGGCUGAUGCCCUAGCCACUUUGGCUUCAAUGUUCAAAGCAAGUAGAGAAGCAGAAAUAAUGCCCCUCAAAAUGAGCAUAUACGAGGUCCCUGCACACUGUUGUAGCAUUGAGAAAGAAGUAGACAGACGGCCUUGGUUCCAUGAUAUCUUAGAAUAUAUCAAGAAUCAAAGGUAUCCCGAACAAGCGAAUGAGAAUGAUAAAAGAACAAUUAGAAGAAUGGCAGCGGGAUUUGUUCUUGAUGGGGAUAUCCUAUAUAAAAGAGGAAAUGAUCAGAUGCUUUUGAGAUGUGUGGAUGAUGUUGAAGCCAGAAAAAUACUUGAAGAGGUCCAUGAGGGAGUUUGCGGAACGCAUGCCAAUGGUUUCAAUAUGGCCAGGAAGAUCAUGAGACUCGGUUAUUAUUGGCUGACAAUGGAAAGUGACUGCAUCAAUUUUGCCAGAAAAUGCCACAAAUGUCAAAUCUACGGCGAUAAAAUUUAUGUAGCCCCUUCACCCCUUCAUGUCAUGACUUCUCUGUGUCCUUUUUCUAUGUGGGGCAUGGAUGUCAUAGGGCCAAUUUCUCCAAAAGCUUCAAAUGGACAUCGAUUCAUUUUUGUGGUUAUUGAUUACUUCACAAAAUGGAUUGAAGCCGCUUCGUUUGCCAAUGUGACGAAGACUGCAGUGUGCAAGUUUUUGAAAAAGGAAAUCAUUUGUCGAUAUGGUUUGCCUGAAAGAAUCAUCUCAGAUAAUGCCACGAAUCUGAACAAUAAGAUGAUGAAAGAAGUGUGUGAGCAGUUCCAAAUAAAGCAUCAUAAUUCCUCGCCCUAUUGCCCAAAGAUGAACGGGGCUGUUGAAGCAGCUAACAAGAACAUUAAGAGGAUUAUUGGGAAAAUGACUGAGACAUAUAAAGAUUGGCACGAGAAACUUCCAUUUACUUUGUUUGCAUAUCGCACAUCUGUGCGAACAUCUACGGGAGCAACUCCUUUCUCUCUAGUCUAUAGAAUAGAAGCUGUGCUACCUAUCGAGGUUGAGAUCCCCUUUCUGCGAGUAUUGAUGGAAUCAAAGUUAGAAGAAGCAGAAUGGGUUCGAGCUCGAUAUGAUCAGUUGAACCUCAUUGAAGAAAAACGUCUAAGGGCAAUUUGUCAUGGGCAAAUGUACCAAAAGAGAAUGAUCGCAGCCCAUGACAAGAAGGUACGACCAAGAGAGUUCCAUGAAGGAGAACUCGUUCUGAGAAAGAUUCUCCCAAUACAAAAAGACCUGCGAGGAAAAUGGGCACCAAAUUUGGAAGGACCAUACGUUGUAAAAAAGGCAUUCUCAGGAGGAGCUUUAAUCCUUACCGAGAUGGAUGGGAAGGAGUUACCGAAUCCGGUGAAUUCAAAUGCGGUGAAGAAAUAUUAUGCUUAAGAUGAAAACCCGAAAAGGGCAUCUUAAAAAAAAGGGAUUAGGGCGAAAACCCGAAAAGGGCGUCUUGAUUAGUACAAAAAGAUUAGGAUGAAAACCCGAGAGGGCGUCCUAAUGAAACAAACCUGGCGGUCGAACGAUAGGUCAAGUAGUGAGACUACAGUAUUUGAAGCACUUCUGAAAUCUUGAAAUUUUCUACGCAAGAAGCCAUGCUCGAAAAGAUUAUUGAUUGAGGAACGUGGAAGAGUUCAUGUGUUGAAUAUCUAGAGCAUUUGUAUCCGUUGAAUACGACUUUUUCUUUCUUUUUGACAUUUUUACUCUCAUUGGUUAACUUUCUUUGUUUGCCACAUUUGAAAUAAAGGAAUAUGAGAUAUCCUUUUUGUCCCUACCUGACCAUUUUCAUGUAUCUCAUUAUGUGUUUAUUUAAUGAUAAAUAGUGAAAUGACAUACUCUAAACAAAAGAAAUGUCAAGCAUUACCCGGAUAAGAAUUUGAUAAGUGCAAGAUCUUCAAAGCAAGAACAAAGUUUAACCAAGGGCAAAAGGGUGAUAUCUGAGAAACGUCGAUUACUCGUAAAGCUCGAAGGCAGGUAUGAGGCCUGAAGAGAAGGUCGAGAAUCAAAGCAAUGAACACAGAUCCUCAGCAAUCGUGGCUAAAUGGACAUACGACAAACAUGCUUAAGGAGCACUGCAUAAUCAUGUAGGCAUAAAAGCAUUUAAGACAAACAUGUGCAUAUCAUGAUAACAUCAUACAUAGCAUAUAUAGGUACUCCAGCAGAGCAAGAAAUCUUGAAUGAGAGUCGCACUGAAUCAAAGGAAAAGACACCCAAGUUCUACCAAAGGACAGGUUUUGGGUAUUUUGAUGUUUUUAAUUCAUGCUUUUCAAGGAAAAUCAACUCAUAUUGCGAGAGAUGAGUUGAGCCUCAAGACACGUUGAGAUACUUUUAAUUUUUGUUUUUCAAAAUCAACUCAUAUUGCUAGAGGUGAGUUGAGCCUCAGGACACGCUGAGGUAAUUUCAAUUUCUGUUUGUCAAAAAUCAACUCAUAUUGCGAGAGGUGAGUUGAGCCUCAAGACACGCUGAGGUAAUCUCAAUUUCUGUUUGUCAAAAAUCAACUCAUAUUGCGAGAGGUGAGUUGAGCCUCGGCUCACAUGCUGAGGUCUUUUCAAUUUCUGUUCGUAAAAAAAAAUCAACUCAUAUUGUGAGAGGUGAGUUGAGCCUCAGGACACGCUGAGGUAUUUUUAAAUUUCUGUUUUUCAAAAAUCAACUCAUAUUGCGAAAGGUGAGUUGAGCCUCGGGACACGCUGAGGUAAUUUCAAUUUCUGUUUGUAAAAAAUUAACUCAUAUUGCGAGAGGUGAGUUGAGCCUCGGCUCACAUGCUGAGGUCUUUUCCAUUUCUGUUCUUCAAUUUCUGUUCGUAAAAAAAAAUCAACUCAUAUUGCGAGAGGUGAGUUGAGCCUCAAGACACGCUGAGGUAUUUUUAAAUUUUUGUUUUUCAAAAAAUCAACUCAUAUUGCUAGAGAUUAGUUGAGCCUCAGGACACGAUGAGGUAAUUUCAAUUUCUGUUUGUCAAGAAUCAACUCAUAUUGCGAGAGGUGGGUUGAACCUUUUAAUUUCUACUUUUUCAAAAUCAGCUCAUAUUGCGAGAGGUGAGUUGAGCCUCAGGUCACGCUGAGGUAUUCUUAAUUUUUGUUGUUUCAAAAAUCAACUCAUAUUGCGAGAAGUGAGUUGAGCCUCGGGGCACGCUGAGGUAUUUUUAGUUUAUGUUUUAAAUUGACUCAUAUUGCGAGAGGUGAGUUAAGCCUUUUAAUUUUUGUUUUUCAAAAUCAACUCAUAUUGCUAGAGGUGAGUUGAGCCUCGGGGCAUGCUGAAGUAUUUUCAAUUUUUUUUGUUUUAAUUUCAACUCAUAUUGUGAGAGGUGAGUUGAGCCUCAGGUCACGCUGAGGUAUUUUCAAUUUCUGUUUUCAAUUUACGUUGUUCAAGAAUCAACUCAUAUUGCGAGAAGUGGGUUGAACCUUUUAAUUUCUAUUUUUUUAAAAUCAGCUCAUAUUGCGAGAGGUGAGUUGAGCCUCGGUUCACAUGCUGAGGUAUUUUCAAUUUUUGUUCGUAAAAAAAAAUCAACUCAUAUUGCGAGAGGUGAGUUGAGCCUCAGGACACGCUGAGGUGGUUUUAAUUUAUGUUCAUAAAAAAUUAGCUCAUAUUGUAAGAGGUGAGUUGAGCCUUGGCUCACACGCUGAGGUAUUUUCAAUUUCUGGUUUUCAAUUUCUGUUUUUAAAAUCAACUCAUAUUGCGAGAGGUGAGUUGAGCCUCAGGACACGCUGAGGUAAUUUCAAUUUCUGUUUGUCAAAAAUCAACUCAUAUUGCGAGAGAUGAGUUGAGCUCGGCUCACAUGCUGAGGUCUUUUCAAUUUCUGUUCUUCAAUUUCUGUUCGUAAAAAAAAUCAACUCAUAUUGCGAGAGGUGAGUUGAGCCUCGGCUCACAUGCUGAGGUCUUUUCAAUUUCUGUUCUUCAAUUUCUGUUCGUAAAAAAAAAUCAACUCAUAUUGCGAGAGGUGAGUUGAGCCUCAGGAUACGCUGAGGUAUUUUUAAAUUUCUGUUUUUCAAAAAUCGACUCAUAUUGCGAGAGGUGAGUUGAGCCUCGGGACACGCUGAGGUAAUUUCAAUUUCUGUUUGUCAAAAAUUAACUCAUAUUGCGAGAGGUGAGUUGAGCCUCGGCUCACAUGCUGAGGUCUUUUCAAUUUCUGUUCUUCAAUUUCUGUUCGUAAAAAAAAAAUCAACUCAUAUUGCGAGAGGUGAGUUGAGCCUCAGGACACGCUGAGGUAUUUUUAAAUUUUUGUUUUUCAAAAAUCAACUCAUAUUGCGAGAGGUGAGUUGAGCCUCGGGACACGCUGAGGUAAUUUCAAUUUCUGUUUGUCAAAAAUUAACUCAUAUUGCGAGAGGUGAGUUGAGCCUCGGCUCACAUGCUGAGGUCUUUUCAAUUUCUGUUCUUCAAUUUCUGUUCGUAAAAAAAUCAACUCAUAUUGCGAGAGGUCAGUUGAGCCUCAGGACACGCUGAGGUAUUUUUAAAUUUCUGUUUUUCAAAAAAAUCAACUCAUAUUGCGAAAGGUGAGUUGAGCCUCGGGACAUGCUGAGGUAAUUUCAAUUUCUGUUUGUCAAAAAUUAACUCAUAUUGCGAGAAGUGAGUUGAGUCUCGGCUCACAUGCUGAGGUCUUUUUAAUUUCUGCUUUUCAAUUUCUGUUUUUUCAAUUUAUAUUUUUCAAAAAUUAACUCAUAUUGCGAGAUGUGAGUUGAGCCUUGGGUUCACAUGUCGAGGUAUUUUCAAAUUUUACUUUUGCGAGAGGUGAGUUGAGCCUUGGCUCACGUGCUGAGCUAUUUUCAAUUUCUGUUUUUAAUGUCUAGUUUUACAGAGUCAAUUCAUAUUGCGAGAAAUGAGUUGAGCUUAGGAUCACAUGCCGAGUAAAGAAUCAAUAUUAGAGCUGAUUGAAGACACCAUAUUUUGUCUCCCUGAAGUUGCAGUGGAGUUAAUCGAGGAUAUCAGAUCUUGCCUUUCUAAAGUGGCAGAAGAGAAGACCCAAAACCUUAUCUCACUGAAGCGAUAGAAGAGCAUAUUGAAUUACAUUGGAACAGAUUGAAGCUACAAGGCAUAUCUCCGAAUUUGCAGUGGAUUGAACCAAAGCUACAAGAUGCGAUGGACUGGAAAAAGACUACCUGGAUGAGAAGAGCACCAAAGAAGUCCAUACUUAGCAAGACCGGGCAAAAUUGGCCUUUCUUUAUAUCUUUGCUCUAUUCUCGUUACACGAUAAUAAGCAAAGAGGGGCAACUGUUGUAGGCCAAUUUUAGCCCAUUUACAUCAAAACCCAAUUUAGCCUUACCUAACCCACUAAAAUUAAACCCAAAACCCAAAAUCUUAACUACCCAAAGCCAAAUUUACAUCAAAACCCCAAUGGCCCAAACCCUAAGCCCAAAUCAAAAUAAAAAAAACCUAGCCCACAACUUAAACUUUUCUCAACUAGCCACUCAUUUUCCACCACCAACUCCACUAGCCACACCUUUUCCAGCACCAACUCCACUAGCCACUCUUUUUCCACCACCAACUCCACUAGCCACACCUUUUCCACCACCAACUCCACUAGCCACUCUUUUUUCCACCACCAACUCCACUAGCCACUCUUUUUCCACCACCAACUCCACUAGCCACACCUUUUCCACCACCAACUCCACUAGCCACUCUUUUUUCCACCACCAACUCCACUAGCCAUUCUUUUUCCACCACCAACUCCACUAGCCACACCUUUUCAACCACCAACUCCACUAGCCACUCUUUUUCCACCACCAACUCCACUAGCCACACCUUCUCCACCACCACUUGUACCUACAAAUGAAGACAUAAACAAUAAAAAAAUAUAUUUUGUAAAUGGCUAUAUAAGCCUUCUCAUAUUUUGUAUAUGGGGGAUUUUUUUUGGAGAGUUUUAGGGGGGAUUUUUUUUUUGGAGAGUUUUUGGGAGAGAAAGUUAUUGUAAAGGAUUUUUAGAGAGGUUUCUUUUUAAAGUAAUUAAGGAGAAGAGUUAUUGUGAAGGCUAGGUUUUGGAGAAGCUAGUUUUUUUGAAGAUUAAUCAAAGAUCAAAGCAAAAGAGGUUUCUUUGUCUAUUCUCAUUUUAAGUUCUUUGUUUACUUAUUGUUUUCCUUUCAAUCUUAUUUUGUUUCUUUUAUACGAAAGUAAAAAAAAUAAAAGGAGGAAGCUUACCCAUUUUUACCGAAAAAGUUUUUUUGAGGUUCGGCUGCCGUGUACGGUGGCGCCGGCGGCGGUCCGGUGACCGGACGAUGGCCGGCCUUGUGGCCGAAAAUCAUCCACCCUCUCCCUCUCUCUCCUUUUUUGUUAUUAUUAUAUUUAUUAAUAUUAUAUUAUAUAUAUUCUUUUAAUAUAUUAGGUAUAUUUUAAAUUCUAUAUUACGUAUAUAUAUAUUUUAUACUAUUUUAUGCAUAUAUCUUUAAUAUUAUAUUAUUUAUAUAUAUAUAUUUUUACAUGUUAUCUUAUGUAUAUAUCUUAACUAUAUUAUGUAUGUAUUUUUAACACUAUAUUAUGUACAUAUUUUUAAUAUUAUCACGUAUUUAUUUUUUAUAUAUGUACAUAUUGAUGUAGUAUUAUUAAUAGUAUUGAUUUUUAAACAUCAUUAUUAUUUCUAAUAUAUAUUAUGUACAUUUUUUUUAUUUCUAUUUUAUUUUUUAUUUGUCAAUAUUAAUUAUUAUUAUUCUAAUAUUUUGAUAUUUUAAUAUUUUAUAUUUUAUAUAUUUUAUUAUUCACAUCAUUAUUCGCAUUUUUUGAUAAUAAUAUUCUUGGAUUUUUUUUUACUAUCAUUUUAAAAACUUUUUACAUUUUAAUUUUAAGAAUAAGGCAAUGUACCGAUUUUAACAUUAAGUCAUUGAUUUCAUCGCUAUGUUGGGUGAAAUUAAUCGGCUCGUGUUAAAAACGGGACGUCCUUCUAAAAAACAAAAAAACUUGCAACUUCUCAUUUCCUUCAAUCGGAUCACACUUAAAUGUCAAAUUGAAUUCGUAUUUUUGAAAAUCAAGACAACAUGUGUUUAAUAAGAUACCAAUUUUGGGCGUCGCGAGGGUGCUAAUACCUUCCUCGCGCGUAACCGACUCCCGAACCCUAAAUUUUCUCUGGAUUUCAACGUAGACCUAAACUUAGCCUUUUAUUUGUUUUAAUAAGAGAUCUAAUAGGUGUCCGAUCACACAUAGGAAAAAGGAUCGGUGGCGACUCCCUGUUUAUUUCAAAAAUCAAACGUCAAAUUUCAAACUUUUUUUCAAUAAAUCGCCACAAUUAGCGACCAAGCUAAGCUAAAAUUUUUACGUCGCUACAGUCAUGAUCUUUAACGGCGAUUGUGGUAGAAGCGCCGCUAAAGGUCUUGUUCUUUAGCGGCGUUUAUUUUUAAAAACACCGCAAACGUUAGUGACGUUGUCAACAGUGGCAUUUUUUGCGGCGCUUCAAAUACUUUUAGCGGCGUUAAAAAGCGCCGCUAAAGGCCUAAAAAAAUGCCGCUAAAAGCCUGUUUUGGUGUAGUGCCAUAAGCCAAUUUGGAUAAGCACUUCCUGUAUUAUUUUGCAAUUGAUAGACAUUAUUUAGGUAAGUAAAUGAUGCUUCCUUAAUCCAAUUUGGAUAAGCCCUUCGACUAUGAUGUUGCCAUUCAUUAGGGUUUGGUUGGCUUAAGUUAAUGUGUAAUUUACUCUUUCUAUAUUAAAACCGAAUCAUUUUAUAUUUGUAUGUUUGAUAUUAUUGUGAAUAAAUAAAAUUAAUAAGGGCCGCUGAUUGAGUCAUAACUUGAUUGGGAUGGAUAUUAUCCUCAAUGCAAGAGGAUGUGGGUUCGAGUACGGUGAAACACGUUAUCCUCUUAUUUAUGAGUUGAGAAUGGGCUAUAAGUAGUUUUAAGCAUUGUCUCAAAAAGAGUAAAGAUGAUCAGAAUUUAUAGUGAGAUUAUUAAAAAAAUGCCGAAUUAAGUUUUAAAUAUAAAUUUCUUGACAUUAAUAAUAAUGAUGUAUUAUUAAAUUAAUUACAAAUUCCAAACUACUAAACAUUCUAAUAGCUCUUCAAUAUAGUAAUUUGUAUUCAUCCCUAAUUCUAUAUUUUGAAUUCUAAUUUAUUACUAACACAAAUUAUAAUAGAUACUGCUUAUAAUGUCAACAAUUCAUUUCAUAUUAAACUUUAUUUUUCACAUAUAUCUUUGAAAACAGAUACAUAUUCUUUUGUUUUAAGUAAAUUAAUUUCAUAUACAACAAUAAAUACAUUAAUAAAAAUAUAUGUACUUUUUUAAAAUCAAUGUAAAAGGUAAUACAAAAAUCCUUAAUAUAUAUUAUAUAUGAAAAUUAUGGUAAAAAUUACGAGAAAUAAAACUAUAACAUUUAAGAAAUAAUUCAUCUAAAAAAAAUAUCAAUAUUUAAAGUUCACAUUUCUACCUUUUAUUUUAUGCAAGUAUAAAAACCUAUAAAUAAAUUCCUAUAGCAAUAAAGAAGUAUAAAUCAAGUCACUAGUAGUUUAAGGUUUUUUAACCUUAUUUUCCUAUUUUAAAUUCUUUUUUUUUUCUUUUUGUACUUUAUAUAUUUUAAUUCUAUUUUGCACAAUUUGUUUUAACACAUUUAUUCUCUAAUUUUUUAUAUUAAGAAUGCAACAAGAGACUUAAAAUUAAUGAAAAACAUAUUGAAGAGCUUGAAACAUGAAGAUUUCAUUGAUUCAACCAAUUAAUGAGUUGAACAAGAUACAAUAUUUAAAUUACAUUAUUUAUGAAAAUGUAUAAUUUUUAAAAUAAAAAAACUAAUUUAACCUUAUAUGUUUUGAUAUCAUGGAUGUAAGUUGUAACUCUCAAAACGCCUAAUGCGUAAAGAGGUAAAUAUAUCGCAAACUGUAAUUUUUAUUUUAAAUAGAUCCCAAACUUUAAAAGAUUUUAAUUAUAUCUCCAAAUUAUAGAGGUUAUAUCAAUAAGGUUCUUCUAUUAUUGAAUCGUUAAUUUAAUUGUUAAGUGAGAUGUGAAGUCUUAUAUGAUAUAGUUUAAAAUUAAAAAACUUAAAGAAAAUUGAAUAUUGUAAAAAUAUUGGUGUUGAUGUCUUCGAAUGUUUCUACAAAAGUUUUAUAUAUCAUUCAUUCACUCUCUCUCUUUUUUUUUCGGUUUUAGUUUCUAUUUAGUUUUAACUUAUAAAGUUAUAUAAUAGCAUUCUACUUUUCUUUCUAAAUUAUGCACAUAAAAUUUGAAAUGUCAUCUAAUGGUUUUAAUAAUAGAAGGACUUGAUUGAUAUGACAUUGAUAGUUUAAGAAUAAAAUUAAUAUGUUUUGAAAUUUAGAAACUAAUUUAAAAUAAAAGUCUAGUACAAUUAACUGCUGCGUAAAUGCUGAAACUGCUGAUUGCUAUAAAUUAAGGUAUAUGUAAGUAAUCCUUAAAUUAAUCUCAAAGUCAUUCGCAUGAUGCAGACUAUGAAUGAAAUUGCAAUAAUAUUGUCGAUGAAAGUAAUUCCAAAUAUGAUUUUUUAUGGCUUUAAUAUAUAAUUUAGUACUUAAAUUUGGGUAUUUGUAUUUGAUAAAAGUUACAUAUUUUGAUACUUAAAUGUAUUAGUGUUAAUUUUUAGAAUUUAAUUUGGGUUUUAGAGUUGACUUAAUGAAAAUUCAUACAUAGCUAAUAAUAUUAUUAGCAAUUAACUUUUAUUAAAUCAACUCUAAAACUCAAAUUAAAUCAUGUCCAUCGGAUUGUAUUUGACAAAUUAAACAUAAAAUUCACAAUAAACACCAAAGUUAUUCCAUUAACAAAAUCGUGAAAAAAUCAAACCUAAUAAUAUCAAAACAGCCUUAAAACCCAAAUUAAAUAUUAAAAGGUAUGAAUAUUUGAGAAAAGAAGAACACAUAUAUUACAAGAUAUGAGCAUGUAUUUGUUUGAGCAACUAUGGAUUGCUGCAAGGGAAAAAAAGUUACCAAAGAUGUAAUAUAAUCCUUAAAGUAAUCCAAAACUCAUUUGCAGGAUGUGGACUAUGAAUGAAUUUACAAUAAUGUUGUGGAUCAGAGUAAAUUCCCAAUAAUUAAGAAUAAUCUUUUCACUUGGUUUUUGAUUGGUUAAUGACUUUUGCCGCACUCCAAGUGUGGUUGUUCACUAUUUUCUUUCCUUUUCUGAUUUUGGGAGUUGAUCGUUGAACUUGCUAUAGUUGGGUGGUUGCUGUCUUCAAAGUGGGGUUGAUUCUAAAGAUGGCGCUUCAAACCAUUUCUCUAUAUUCAACUUUACAUGAUUAAUUUCUCAAUUUCUUUUAUGAAUUUGGAGAAGUUAAAUCUAAUGAGUAGCUGCCACAAUUGAUAUAAGCACGUGAGUGCUAUUGAUCCCUGGUUUCUUGAUGACAUUUUUAAUGAUGGAGAAGAUGAGUGAUUGGUUCAUAAUUUCAUAUUUGGAUUUGAAAUAAUUCCUCCAAUUAUCCUUUCAAAUUUCUAUUGUUGGAAAAUAUGGAUAUCACGUAUAUAAUAAGGGUAAUGACAUAUUAUUUAUUAUCAUGAUAGGUUAGCCCAAAUUAAAAGUAAUCUAAUUUUGUUAAAGUUUUAUUCGGUUUUAAUUAUUAAAUAAAGUAUAGGUCAAAUAUGUGUAGAUACUCUAGUAAUUAAGUUCUAAUCAAUUUCUAAUUAAACGAUGCACUAAUUAGGAAUUAGGGCUAAUGUGUCAAAGUUCUAUAUAUUAGGGUUAUAGUCCUCAAAUUACAUACAAUAUAUCUUUUCUAAUAUCCCAUCCUUAGGAAAGAGAGAGCAAACAUUCUCUGAAUUAAUUGUGUGCUAAUUUGGAAGAUCAAAUUCCAAGAUCCAGAAAAACUUCAAAGAAUUUAUGGAUUCAGGUACGCUUCCGCAUCUAGUUUUAUUCUUGAUGAUUUGACAUGAUAGAUCUUAGUUUACAGUUUUAAUUUUAUAUUAGAUAUUAUUUACGGUUCUAAUUAUAUCCUCAAAUUAUGAUUUUUAUUUUAAAUUAACCCCUAAAUUUCAAAACAUUCUAUUUACAUUUUAAAACUAUCAAUGUUAUAUAUACCAAUCAAUCAAUAAAAUCAUUAAAUGGCAUGCCAAAUAUUAUAUGAAAUAAUUUAAAAUAAAAACUUUAAAGAAAAGUAAAACAUUAUUGUAUAACUUUCAGAAGCAAAAAAUAAAAUAGAAAAAAGAGAGAGUGAUCGAAAGCUUUUGUAAAAGCUUCUAAAACAUCAAAAUUAAGAUUUUACAAUAUUUAUUUUUAUUUAAACUUUUCAUUUUAAACUAUACCACAUAAUAUUUGACAUAUCAUUUAACGGUCAAAUUCAUUAUUUUAAUAAUAGAAGGAUCUUAAUAUCAUAACCUCAAUAAUUUAAGAGUAUAUAUAGAAUCGAGCAUCCACCAAACUAUAUUACUUUGUUAAACUUUCUACAAGACAUAUCCAAGCUUCACCAGGUAUAUACAUACACACUAAGGCUACUUUCAAAUUGCUUUUAAAAAUUGUUUAUAAAAAGUUUAAUUUAAAAUUUAAUUAUUUAGUAUUACUAGUAAAAAAAUACAUCUUAGGUAUAAUGUUGUAAAAUGAAAAUAUACAUUUAAAUAAUUUUCAAUUUCAAUAAUAUUUUGAUAUUUUUGUAAGUAUAUAAAAAAAUAAUUUAUUGUAAGUCAUUAUUAAUAUUUAAAUAAUUUUAAAAAAAUUAAUAUUAAUUAUUUGUAAAAUUUAAUUUGAAUAUAUAAAUUAUAUUUUAAAUAUUAAAAAUAUAAUCAUUAUAAAUGUAGAUAUAUAAUGUUAUAUAUUUGAAAUAAAUUUUGUAUACUCAAUAUAAAUAUUGCAUAAAAUAAAUUGGAUUAAAAGUAAAGGUUUAAAAUAUUUUUUUUUUUGACUUAAAAAGUGCUUUUUCGGAACAUAAAAACUAAAAAAAAGCGUUUUUAUUUUUGGGUUUAAAAAUACUUUUAACUUAAAAGCUGUGUGUUUAGCAUUGUUUGUUACUUCAAAAAAAAAAAAUCCUUUUAACAAAAAUAAAAAAAAAACAAAAAAAAACUUAAGUUUCAUUGAACUCUAAAACGCUUUAAUGGGAUAUGCAUAUACAUAGUAUACACUAAUUAGCUUCGCGAGAUAUGUCACCUCGCCAUUUGGGGGGCGAUUCUUGCCCUCGAUGUCGAUCGUUUCUAUUUUAGUGUUGUGAUAGAAUUUAUGAGAAGUAUUGUUCUUAAAAAUUUGAGGAAAAAUCUUGAUGCUCCAUCGAUAAAUGCCAUUAAUGAAGUACUGAACAUGUAUGGAAAUAAGGAUAAUAAGUAUCAUAGUCAAGAUAGUCAAUAUGUGUUUGAUUUACAAUACGUUUUUUUUGUUUAAUUGUGGGAAUAUUGAAUUGGUGUGAGCUGCAUUUUUUUUUUUAUGUUUAUCGUACUAAUUAUUGAUAUAAAAAUAAAAAGUGAUUUAUUUGGUGGAUCAAAAGCUGUAAGUGAUUUAGUUGAAGAGGAGGGACUAUAAAGAGUUAAUUUGGAAGAAACUUUGAAAAAGAGAAAUUGAUUCUCUAAAUUCUGAGAAAGUAUUUAAGGAAAACAUUCAUAUGCUACAUGUUUUUAUAUGAUUAGUGAGAUGGUUAAUAGUGAGUGUUUUGUUAAAUUGACUAAGAGACUUAGGGUGGGUUUGGAUGGAUGAUUGGGUGCGGUGCGUUUAACUUACUUUUUGUCUCACAAUACAGUAUCUAAUCUCACCGCUGUUUUUACACUAACCGUAGGUAAACGCACCGCUCAUCUAAACACAUCCUUAAUGUAUAGAUUGCAGGGUAGUGAUGUGAUGGCACUCUUAUUGCAGUGGUUGGGCUUGGAAUGGCAUGAUACUUGGCUAUAUUGGAGCAUGGUGAAGCCUCUAAAUAUAUGUAAUGGUUUCUUAGUAUUUUUUAUUAAACAAUAUACUUUUAUAAUCUAAAAUAUAUAUUUUUAUUUUUAGUUAAAUCAGAAUCGAUCUAACUUAUAAUAAAAAUCAAUUAAUCUUAAAAAUAAUUAAAUAAUUAGAAGAAUAAAAUAAUUAGUUUUUUAGAACAAAAAGAAGUUGAAAGUGUUCAACGGAGAAUAAUAAUAUUAAGUAAUUAGAUAAAAUAAAUAAAAAUAAUAUUAAUUCAUAAAAUAAAAACUAUUGAAUAUAAAAUAAUAAUCAUUAAACAUCUCAAAUAAUAACGAAAAUUAUAUUUUUUUCAGUGAUGAAAAUAAAACCUAUUAAAUAAUGCUAAAACAUGAUUUUUCUAAUAAUUUUGUAUAUGUUAUUUUGAAUAAAAAUGACUUGAUAAUAUAUAUAUUUAUAGUGCUAAAUAUUAGUAUUAAUUGGUAUAUAAUUAUAUUGCUAAUUAUUAAGUGAUAAUAAUUAUUAAAUUGAUAAUGAAAACAUUAUAAUUAUUUUAUAUUAAUAAUUUUUUAUGAAUAUAAUUUUGUGUUUAAGAUUUAAUAGAAACACUAUUAAUAAAAUAUUUAUAAUUAUAAUGAUUUUUUAUAUUAUGUUAUUGAUUUUCUAGAUUUAAAUAAGUCGAGAAGUAUAGAUAAUAAAAAUACAAAAUUUUAAGUGAUAAAUUUCCUUUAUCUUAUUUUCUCAAAUAGAUACGAGUCAUACUAUUCAUCGAGUUUGAACUUACCUUAAAUUGAACCAAUAUGAUUAGAUGCAAUUAUUAUUUAUAAAAGAAAUUAUUUUAUUUAAUUAAAAUGUGUUUAUUUUUUUUUGAGUUUUGACAUAUAAAUUAAGAAUAAAUAAAUAUAUAUAUUUACAUAUAUAUUAUAGAUUAGAUUAUCAAUAUAUUAAUAUUGUCUUAUAUAUAUAAUGUUUAUCUCACACAUUUAAUUUUUUUAAUUAUAAAAAUUGUUUUCGAACAUUAUUUAUUAUUAUAUUCAAAAUAAAUUCAUAUUUAUUUACAAAAAUUAUAUUUAAUUAAUUAAAAAACUUAAAUUUUAUUAUUUUAAUUUAUCUAACUAUAUUGAAUGAUUUUAUAGAUUUAUAAUUUUAUUAAUUAAUAAUAUAUUAUGUUUUUAAGUAGAUAUUUUAAAAUCUAUGACCAAAUUAAUUAAUUUUAAAUUAAUAUACUAUUAUAUUAAUUAAUUUUUUUAUUAUCACGUAAUAAUAUUAAUAAAUUAUUGUUCUAAUAUUAAUUUAAUAAUAUAAUUAACAAUAAAAGGUAUUUUUAUCGAUUCAAAAAUUUCUAUGCUUUUAUAUAUAUAUAUUAUAAAUUAUAGAUUAUAGAUAUAUUGUAGAUUAAAGUUUAUGAAAAGUGUAGACUGCAAUUAUUGUUCACAGAUCGUGUGGCUUGUUUGGUCUGAUAAGCUCGGCAUAUCUUUAGUGGAGUUUUAUUAAGGAAAUUUUAUCUUGAACUAGCGCCCAACCUAGUCACAGUUAAAAUAAAUAAAUUUAAAAAUAUUUUAAUUUAAUUUAAUUAUAAAAUAUAAAAAUAAAAUUAUUUUUUUAAAAUAGUGAAACAUGUAGUUGAACCCAAAUUCAAACCUCUAAAUAGGUGAAAAGUAAAAUAAAAAAGAAAGCAAGAAGAAACUUGUCAAAAUCUUAUUGCCCUCCAUAUUGCUUUGAUCUUAGUAGUUCACCUAUAAAUAGCUUAACCAAGCCAAAAAUAAAUGUACUUGUUAAUCAUAUAAUUAAGAAAAAGAAGAAGUUUCCAUGGCACUACUACAACCCACUUCUCUAGUGUUCACUGUAGAAAGGCAGGAACCGGAGCUCAUCGUCCCUGCUAAGCCAACCCCUCACGAGUGUAAGUUGCUGUCGGACACCGACGACCAAGCUGGUCAUCGUUUCCAAAUUCGAGGGCUCCAUAUUUAUCGGAACAAUGCUUGCAUGCAAGGAAAGGACCCAGUUAGGGUUAUAAGAGAAGCACUUGCGGAAACCCUGGUGUUUUUUUAUCCAUUUGCUGGUAGAUUGAAGGAAGGGCCGAACCGGAAGCUUAUGGUGGAUUGUAGCGGUGAAGGUGUACUGUUCAUUGAGGGUGAUGCUGAUGUUACACUUGAGGAUUUCGGCGAUUCACUUCACCCACCAUUUCCAUGUUUCAAGGAGCUUCUUUAUGAACUCCCUGCCUCCAUUGAUUUGCUAAAUUCUCCGCUGCUACAAAUUCAGGUAUUUCAAAAACAUUAAUAAGACAAAAAUAUCAUUUUUAUUAGUUUAAAAAAAUAUUGUUUUAGAUCAUUUCUUAAUUAACUUAGUAUCUAGGUUAACUCAUAAAACUAGUUAAACGAGAAUAUCAUAAUACAUAGCCAUUUAAAAUAUGCCAUAAUCCUUGUUUUUUUAAAAAUUUUAAAAUUUAAUCCUUAUAUUUUUAUUUUUCAAAAUUAAAGUUAAUAUGUUAACAUUGUUAUUUCUUUUUUGUUAAAUUUGUUGUUAUGACAUUUUGAAAUAAAUGAAAAUAUUCACUUGGUAGUCAUGUAAUUAAAAAAAUGACGUUGUAAUAAACUUAAAUUUAACAAUAUUAAUAGUCGAACCUCGAUUUUGAAAUAUGAAAAAUAGAUGGACUAAAUUCCUGGAAAUGAAAGUAUAAGAACUAAAUUUCAAAUCUUUUAAGAGUAUAGGGAUUUAUGACAUAUUUUGACUUAGAUAGUUCGAUGAUGAUGAUGAUUAUCUAUAAUUAUAUGAUAUGUUCGCCUAAAUCGGUAUUACAAGUCAACUCGACAUCAAUUCAAUUAGGAAAAUUACUUAAAACCUAAAUUUUUAAAUAAAAAAUUAAAAAUAAGAUAUCUAAAAAAUGAAACUAAGCAUAAAAAAUUUCAUUUAUAAAUAUUUUACAACUACCUAUAAUUCAUUUAGUGAAUAAUAUUUUAUAAAUAUAAUUUAAGGGAAUAAAUUAAAUUAAUAUCAUUUUAAAAUAUAUAAUUUGUAGGCACCAAUAAAAUAGUGAAAGAUUAUUAAUUUUUAAAAAGAAAGUAAAUUGAAAGUUAGAAACUAUCGGGGUAAAAACAUAUAACAAAAAAUAAAUUUGAAAAUUCCGGAAUCAAAAUUUAAAAAAAUAAAAAAUUCAUAAGCAAACAACUGAAAAUUGUAAAACUGAAGAUUAAAAAUAGGGGUGAGCAAAACUCGAUUCAACUCGAAAAAAUUGAAAAAAAAUUCGAAUUUCGAGUUAAACGAAUCGAGUUAUUCGAAUCAACUCGAAUUUUUUUUCGAAUUUCGAGUUCGAAUCGAGUUGGGUUUUCGAAUUCGAAUAAUUCGAAUAUCAAACUAUAAUAUUUGACAGUUUUACCCUAAACUCCCAAACCUUUUUACUUUUCCCUCAAAACUUUUACUCCUUCCCACUUUCCCCCCAAAACUUUUACUCCCCUCCCCUCCCAACCCCUCCAAUCUAUCCAAAAUCCAUUUCCCACCAAAAUUUUACUCUCCCAUUUACUUUUUCUCAAAAUUUUACUCCCCAAAACCCUCAAAACCUUUUAUUUUCUCUCAAAAUUUUUACUCCUUCCCACUUUUCCCCUAAAACUUUUAUUCCUUUUCCAUCCCACCUCCCACCUCCCAUCUACCCCAAACCCUCCCCCCUCCAUUUUUUUUUUAAUAUUUUCCCUCCAAAAUUUUACUCCCCUUAUUUACUUUCCUUCAAAUUUUUAUUCCCCAAAACUUUUUAUUUUCCCCCUAAACUUUUACUUCUCACUCUUUACUCUCAAAUAAAAAAUCAAAAUUAUCCAAAAAAAAUCACUAAACAUAAAUAGUAAUAAUUUUAUUUAUAUUUACUAUUUAUAUUAUUAAAUUAAAUUUCACAUUUUAUAUUAUUUAUAUUAUUGAAUUUUUUAGUCAUAUUGAAUAUUUAUAUUAAAAUUGAAUUAUUAAUUAUCCCAUAAAAUAUUCGUGUUAAAAUUUUAUAUUGGUAUCAAUUUCACAUUUUAUUUUUGAAAUAAUUUUAUUAAAAAAAUCAUAUUUUUACAUUUAAUAUAUUUUUUAAUUCCAAAAUACAUAGUGACAAGAAUCUGAAGAUAAUUGAAACAACUAAGCAAGCAAAUAAACUAAUCAGUAUAUAAAAAAUUAAUAAAUAAAUUAUGAGGUGAUGAAAGUUAAUAAAAAAUUUGAUUAAGGUAGACAAAUUUUAUUACGAUGGGUGACAACGGUUACAAGGACCCAAAAUUAUUUUUUUAAAAUUUAACUCGAACAAAUAUAUUCGAUUCGAUUCGAUUCAAAUUCCAUCUCACUCGACUUGAUUCGAGAAAACUUCAAAUAAAGUUAGGAUGAUAAAAUGAGAUUCGAAAACUCGAUUAACUCGAAAAUUUUUUAUUCGAUUCGAUUCGAUCGAAUGCUCACCCCUAAUUAAAAAAAUGGGUAGUAUAAAAUUGAAAAUAAAUAAAUUACAUGUUAUCCAACUUCGUAUUUGUUAAAAAAGAAAAAGAAAAAAACUACCUAAAAACUAAUAAAUUAAAAAAGAAGAUGAUUAAAUUUUAAAAACUAAAAAUGAUAUAAAAUAAGAAAAUAUGUUUGCUUAUUUUUCAAAAUUUGAUUUAAAAAAUAAUUAAAAUUAAAUUAAAUUAAAUUUGAGAAGAUAUCUUUUAAAAAUUGAUGACUUAUCAAUUUAGUCCUUAUCAAUUAAUAUUAAUUUUUUCUUUUAGACAAAACCUAGUUAUUAUUUACGACAAUUUAAUAGGUGACACGCUUCAAAUGCGGAGGUUUCAUCUUUGCCCACCGAUUUAACCACACCAUGAGCGAUGCUGUUGGUCUAAUUCAAUUCAUGUCCACCAUGGGUGAAAUGGCACGAGGCGCGGUGGCUCCCUCAAUCCCCACCAGUUUGGGAAAGGCACCUCUUGAAUGCUCGAGACCCCCCGCUCAUAACAUGCGCUCACCUCGAGUACGAUCAUGACAAGGCCGCCACCGGCACAAUCAUGCCAACAGACAACUUGGUUCAUCGCUCUUUCUUCUUCGGACCAACUCAAAUUUCAGCUCUUAAAAGAUCUAUCCCCGACAACCUCCGUUGUUCAGCGUUUGAUAUCUUAACAGCAUGCAUAUGGCGUUGUCGUACAAAAGCCUUGGAACUUGGCCCCGAUGAAGAUGUUCGGUUCAUCUGCAUAGUCAAUGCAAGGUCCAAAUUCGACCCGCCUUUGCCAUUAGGGUAUUACGGGAAUGCACUUGGGUACCCCGCCGUUGAAACAACCGCGGCAAAACUAUGCCAAAAUCCAUUAGAAUAUGCAAUAAAGCUAGUGAAAGAGGCCAAGGGAAAGGUGACUGAAGAGUAGAUGAAAUCAACGGCGGAUUUGAUGGUGAUUAGAGGACGACCGAACGUUAACACGGUUCGAUCCUUGAUAGUGUCGGAUUUGAGUCGAGCUAGGUUCAGGGAGGUUGAUUUUGGGUGGGGUAAAGCAGAGUUUGGUGGGCCAGCCAGUGGUGAAGAGGUUAUAAGCUUUUAUAUACCUUCAAAGAACAAAGAAGGAAAGGAAGGGAUUACAGUCCCAGUAUGCUUGCCUGCUCCACACAUGGACAGCUUUGUUAAGGAGAUAAACCGAAUGCUGAAAGACGAUGAAGCAACUGGAGGUUAGACUGGUGAUUCUGGCAUCGGAUUUGUAAAAUAAUUACUUGAAGAUCAUAGAUGUGAUAAAAAAAGAAAAAGAAAAAGAGUUUCAGUAUUGUUAAAAAAGAUUUGAUUUGUAAUAUGUCUGGGUUGAGAAGUGAGUGUGGUUUGUGAUUUCUAAAUAUAUGGUAUUUGCCGUACGAUGAAAGAAGUGUUGAAAUAUUUGUAUAUUUAAAAUAAUACCCAUCUGUUGGAUGCAAUCUGUAAAAUCUGCCCAAACUACAAAAUGAUGUUACCAGAUCCGUUGGUAAAAGACAAAAAUUAGACAAAUUGGAGGGGGUAAUAUUCCAUCAAGGCUUGAUGUAAACGCCAAAUGCUAUAGUAAGCAAAACAAUAGAGAAAUAGUGGCCAACGAAUUAGGAUCGAAUGCAUCCAACCAAGUCUUUGUCGUGCUUCAAUAAUUACGAAAAAAAAUGUAAAUGUAAGAAUAGUCAACCCUUCAAUUCAUUCUAUUUUAAUCGCUUAAUAAUUAAUUUUUUUAUUUUAAUCAAAAAUUAAAUAUUUUAGUCUUUUUUUCAUUAGUUGCCUAACAAAAGUCUAACGUGCGGUUUGUUUUAUUGGCCUAAUAAUAAAAUUUAGCUCUCUAAUGUUUAUACAUUCUACCAAUUUAAUCUAAAAUCUAAAAAAAAUUAACAAAUUUAGCCCCAAUAUUUAUAUGAUUUGACAUUUUAGUCCUAGUUAUAAAAAUUGUAAAGAAAUUUAUAAAUUCUUAAAAAUUUAAAAUUUAAAAAGUAAAUAUAAAUUAUAAAAAAUUUAAAAUUUUCAAAAAGUAAAAACAGAAGUAUUUUUAAGAUUUUGUACCCAAAUGACUUUCAAUAGAAUCUUCCAUUUUAUUCUUUCUUUCAUUCAAAUGAUGAAGUUAAGAACAUCAAAUAUUGGACUUUUUUUUAUAAAACUAACCUAAAAAAAUUAAUUAAUUACGUAAUGACCUAUUUUUUUGAUAAAAUAUGUAAAUAAUCUAAAGUCUGCAGUAAAAAUUGAUGGAGCUAAAGUGUUUGGCGCCACCUGUAUAAAUAUUAGGGAAAUACUGUGAUUUUUAAAAAAAUAGGGGGCUUUAAACAAAAUUUUGUUUUUCUGGUGGAGCCAAAUAAUUUGGUGCCACUAGACUCCAACGCUUGUGCUACCUUUUGUCCUUUUUUUGUUUUUUGUUUUAUUUUUUUAAUUUGUGUUUUUGAAUUGUUUAUUAUUUAUUUUAUAAUAUUUUAAUUGUUUUAUAAUAUUUGUUUAUUCAAACAUGUUUUUUUAAAUUUUUUUAUUAUUAUUUUUAUAAUAUUUUAAAUGUUUUAUAAUAUUUUUUUAUUCAAACAUUUUUAAAAUAUAUAUUUAAAAUUAAAAAAAUAUUUUAUUUGGUGGAGUCAUUUAGAAUGACUCCACCACUUUAUUGCAAGUUAAUUUUUUUUAAAAAUGUGUUUUGUAAUAUAAAAAUUUAAAAUGUUGGUUGUGUGUUUUUUAAAAUUUAAAUAUAAUUUAAAAAAAAUAUUAUAAAACAUUUAAAAUAUACAUUUAAAGAAUUAUAAAAAAAAUAAUAAACAAUUAAAAAAACCAAUUUAAAAAAAACCGUUUGAAUAAAUAAAUAUUAUAAAACAUUUAAAAUAUACAUUUAAAAUAUUAUAAUACAAAUAAUAAACAAAUAAAAAAAUGCGUUGGAUGGAAAAUUUGUUUAAAGCUUCCUCUAUUUUUUUUAAAAAUCGUAGUAUUUCCUUAGUAUUUAUAUAGGUGGCGUCAUUCUAUAUGGCUCCACAAAAAAAAGUGAUUUUUUAUCCUGAUUGCUGACGUGGCAUGUUGGUGGUGUCAAACACUUUGGCUCCAUCAACUUUUACGGUAGAUUUUAGGUUAUUUACGUAUUUUAUCAAAAAAAUAAGUCAUUUACAUAAUUAAUUAACUUUUUAGGUUAAUUUUAUUAAAAAAAAACCCAAAUAUCAUGGCCUUGAUCUGCAAUCUCCCUCCAAUGCUUGAGCUAGAAGUGAUAAGACAUGAGAACAUUAGAGCUUGAAACUGUUACUAUUUUAGUAGCAAAAAGUAAAGCCUUUGGAGUUGAUGUCAUCAGCACAACCAUUUUUUUGGGUUUAUAGAUUUGUUAAUUUUGAUAUUCUUUUUGAGUUUUAAUUAGGUAUUUGAGGCAAACAAUAUACUAAAAAAAACUAAAAUAAAAGAAGUUGGAAAAAAAAUUAAAUUUUAGGUUUUUUACACGUUUGGUUGUUGGAAAAAUGAGAGAAAAUGUAAUUAUAAAUUAUAAAAAUUUAAAAAAGAAAAUAUAAAAAUAUUUUAAAGAUAUUAUGAAUAUAUUUUAUAAUUUUUAAAAUUGUUUUAAAUUUAGGAUUAAAAUAAUACAUGCGUUGUUACCCUUAAAAAAAGUUAAUAUAUAAAUCCCUCUUUCCUUCCCUUCCCUUCCCCUGUUCUAAGAACACUCUCAAACGCUUUGAUUAAGAGUGUCACUACACACAUACAUACAUAUAUUUUACGCUACAUAUUUACCCUUAAUGAGUUAAUUACCUUGAUCAUUUUUAUUUGCUUAUUACUAUGAUCUUAUUUACUAUAUUAAAUUAUUACUUAUGCUAUUCGUGUAUCACUUAUAUAUUUUAGUACAAAUGCCAUAUUGUAAGUGAAGGAAAUAUAACGGUUACUAAUUGUAUCAUAAACUUAAGUGUUCCUUCUACAUUUUUUAUUUUGAUUCUGCUAUUUGAAGUUGCAAUAAUAUACUGUGAAGAAAAACAUGAUUUGGUGAGAUGGUAUUUUCCUUAGCAACAUCUUAUUUGAUGUUGAUGGUACUAAAGUAUUACUCUAUUUCUCUCAAGAAGCUGUCCAUCUUUCUUGAGACUUUGCCCCCUUGACUUUCUCCGGUUUGGAGACAUCAGUCUUAUGGUUGGGUGUCGCAGACAACACCUUUUACCCAAGACAGCCCUACGAACAACGAGCUCUCCCAUGAGCUCUUCAAUCUGUUCUUUUAAAGCUGUCAACGUGGCUUCAGUUUUUUCCUCUAUAACAAUCAUCAUAGCUUCAAGAGUAUCAUUCUUCUUCGUCAGCUUACCAACUAUAGUCUUGAGAGCCCCUUGCAUGGCAUCUAUAUCGGAGCUGGGAGCCUUUACUACCUGUCCCUUAAGUUGAUCUUUCACUGAGUUCAACUCUGUGGUGCGUCCCUUAACUACCUUGAGUGUUUCCUUCAUACCAACCACAAAUUCCUCUAGAUUAGACACUCGACCUUCCAAAGCUGAUAGCUUAUCCCUCAAUUUGCUUGCUUUCCUAGCUCUCCCCCGCAUCUCCCUUGACUCAAUCUAAUUAUCUACUUCUUUCACCAUCUUAACAGCGUCUUGUCGAACACUGACUCUUGAUACUAACUAUCAUGGAGUGGUCUUAGGCAAGAACUUAGCUUCAAAUUUGCCUAAAUCAACCUAAAUAUGGAAAAAAUGAGAAUUCACAAAGGAAAUUCUCUAAGGCAUCGAAACUUAACGGAAGCAAACACAAAAGCGGAGAAGCAAUGAACGAACAAAAAAGAAAACCACAAGAAAGCAAAUAAACACCAAGUGUUUGAGUAAUUGCUCCAAAAAAAAUUCUAUCAUUGAAUGAAUGAGUGAUUGCAAAUAAGGGGGAAUGACUUUAUUUAUAGUUGAGCUCCCUACGAUCCAACAGUACAAUUUAAAAUACAUCACCCACUAAGAUUAAAAUCUAUCUACAAGUUGAGAGUCUUAUGAGAUCUAAACACUUUAUAAGAUCCUUUAGCAUUACAAAUAUUUACCCUAGUAAAAUACAAAUCACUGGAGUGUUUAUAUAUUCACCAAACUUGAAGUAGAUGAGCCUUGAGUUUCUACAAGCAAUGGGCUAAUCUCUAUGGGCCGAUUGACCCCGAGUAAACAGGAUGAACUGUCAAAGUGUGCCUUGGUCAUGGGUUCCUUUACGCGGCUUGUGGCACUAGCAUGUACUAGAAUGUUGUCAUGUAGAAUAUUCCUAUCACCUAGGAGUGAAGAAGAAGCAUGCUUGUCUAGGUGACGAAUGAUUGAGUACUCAACCCAUCCAGCAAUGUGUGGUCUAGUACUAUACUUAUGUUCAACUUGCUUCCGCACUUUCAACCUUUUUUUUCUUUUUUUGGUAUAUCAUUUAUGGUGAGAGCCUCAGGUUUAACUGGAACACCGUUUUAUUUUUGACUUGACUGAUCCACUAUAGCAAUUCCCAUGUUAUUGUUACUUUAAUAACAAUGACUACUUUAUGGUUAGGUUUAGGUAAUGUCGUCUCUUGCUCAACGACCACCUUUUGCGGGUGUGUCUCAUCUGCCGUGGCCACUCUGUUAAUACCUUAUUAUAAUCCAGAGGAUUUGCAAACUUGACUAAGACAUAAUCAUUAUCAAGGUCAACAGGUUUCCAAAGAAGUUUGAUCCUACCAACAAGUGCUUAGUAGCCUAUAGAGCAACCAAGGAGCCUGAAAAUAGUCGUUUGCUUCAUACUCAAAUCAUGAACAAGAUCUGAAAAGUAAAUAUUAGGGUAGGGGAUGUCCAUAGAUAUAUGAAUAUCAUCAUUAUUUAAGCAAAUUUCAUCCUGGUCCAGAUAUAUAUCAUUGCCUUCCUCGGUUUCAAUAUUAGACAUCAACAUGUCCCUGAAGGAAGCCUUACUUGUUGUUUCUUUCUUCUCCUGGUCACCGCUCUCCACCCUAGUAACUUCUCUGUUUUUAACCUUCUUAGCUGCCCUUUCUAAUUCCGACGCCACAGUGGAGCUCGACCGUUCACGGCUACCCAACGGGUCAACGCAAAGUUCCGUUCCAAAGAGUUAAAACACUCUUUAAACUUAGGAUUUAUUUUUGAAAGGAACUUUAAUAAUAAUAUUUUUAGAUACAGGGAUGGGAGUAAGCAUGAGUUUUGGCCCAUUUUACUCCAAAUUUUGUGAGUUAUUGUUUACUAAUAAUGUCUCACUCAAAACGGGUAAAAGACAAUUUUAGGCCAGAAAUGAAAAUUACAAAAUUCUGGGUUUAAUCAUUUAGAGAUAAGUUUGAGCAAUAGCAACUUACAAUUCCAAGUCAAGUGAAGCGAAGUUGACUUAAUUUAAUGUAAUGGGUCGGUCAAUCUUUUGAUUUGGAAAAAGUUGAGAAAUAUCGUUGUAAAAAAAGGUUAUAAAUCUAAGUGGGGUCAAAAUAAUUUAAAACCGGCUGCCUUGAAAUUCACACCACAAUUUCUCAUCCCUUUCCUUCCCUCAACAACCCACAUUUUGUCCACCAUAUAUAAUUAAGAUAAUAUUAGACGAUAACUUGGUCACAAAGUGGGAAAUAACUAUCCAUUUCUUCCUAUAAAUACCACUCUCACAAGCACUUAAAAGCAAACCAACACUCCAUCCUUUUGCUCCUUUUGGUAUCAUGGCAACUUCCUCCACUUCCCUAGUGUUCAAGGUUCACCGACAUGAACCUGAACUAAUACCUCCGGCUAAGCCUACCCCUCAUGAAUACAAACUAUUAUCCGACAUCGAUGAUCAAGAAGGUCUUCGGUUCCAAAUUCCGGUUAUCCAAUUUUACAAAUACAAUCCUUCCAUGCAAGGAAAAGACCCUGUUAGGGUGAUCAGGGAGGCACUCGCACAAGCGUUAGUGUUUUAUUACCCGUUUGCCGGUAGGCUAAGGGAAGGAGCUCAGCGCAAGCUGAUAGUGGAUUGCAGCGGUGAAGGUGUAAUGUUUAUCGAAGCGGAUGCGGAUGUUACGCUGGAGCAAUUCGGUGAUGCACUUCAACCACCAUUCCCAUGCUUGGAGGAGCUCCUUUAUGAUGUUCCGGAUUCUACUGGGGUGUUGAAUUGCCCCGUAAUACUUAUUCAGGUACUUAUUUUACCUAUCCAUUGAUUUAAAACAUUAUGUAUAAGCUAUACUAAUUCCGUUAUUUUAAACAUCACAUAAAUAUGCAAUAUUUCUAGAAUACAUCUCAAUAUUUUGUAAACAUAAUAUUCAAAAUCAUUGAUAUCGAUUUUGAUAAUUAUAAAAUAUUAAGAGGCAGUAUGUUAACAUCAAACACACUAGGGUUUCUCCUUCCUCAUUUAUUUUUUAAAUAAUCCCAUCAAUAUCAAUGAUAGAAAACGACAAGCACAGCCCACCAAUAAUAUGUUUUCUAGUUUUAGUUGUAUGGUAUAAUACCAACUUUAAUAUUAUUUUCCGAAUACUAAACAACCUUGCAAAAUUGAAAUAAUAGAACAAAAUUAGGUGAAAGAAUUGUAUUUUAUUUUCUCCACUAAAAUAAUAGACAAAAUAGUCUUGGUACUUUAGAUUAAAGAGUAAACUGGCCUUUUGUUAAAAAUUGGUCUUUACACGUAAGUAUAAAGUAAACGUGGCACGCCACGUAUAACAAUCUGAUUGUUUUAUCAGCCACAUCAAUUUUAACAAUAUAAAUGGAUUAACACAAAAAAAAAUUAUUUCAUCUAUUCUUUUAAUAAAUAAAAUAAAAUAAAAACUAACUUUUAGUCUUCAAUAAUACUUUUGCUCAUAAAAGGAUGGUCCUCCACUUAAAUAAUUUAUUUAUGUUUUUAGACUAACCUCCACUUAAAUUAUAUGAAUGAAAGAAAAAAAAGGAAUCUUAAUAUUUGAAUCACAUUAUUUAGAAUCAUAGGACCCACAUUGACCAAAAAUUAUAAUUUGGAUGGUGGGCCCUAUCAUUGCCAUUUUUAAAUUAUAAUUUUUUUUUGUCAAAUUCCAAGACUUUUGAUAAAGGAUAAAAAUGCAUUUUUCGAAUAAAGUGUAAAAUAAUUUAUAUAAUUUUUUAUAUAAAUUAUAAAAGGCAUACGGUAAAAUUCUAACAACAACGAGAUUAAAGUUAAAAAUCAUUUAUAUAUAAAUUUGAGCUAAUAUUUAUAUCUUAUUUCAAAAUAUUGAAUAUCAUAGCAUGAACGUUAGUCUGAAAAAUAAAAAAGUGUAGGCCAAGCUAGCAAUCAAUGAGAACUGCUUUAUAUAAAGGCAGCACUAAGCACUAAUUUGGUUUGUACACCAUUAAUUUUUAGUGCUCGUGAAAUGAGCAGUGGGGUGGCCCAUCGGAAAAAAAAAUCAAUUAUCACAAUUACUAUACUGACUUAUGUACCAAAAAUAAUUAAUGUUAUGUAAACUUUUUUUUUUGCAAAUUCUUUUUGUUAAACAAAUAAUUAAACUUCAAAUCAAAUAAAUAAUAUAAUUUUUUAAAAGAUUUAUAUAUGAUUUUGAAGAUAGAUCACCCAAAUUUAAUAUUCUUGGUUAACAGGUAACACGGCUUAGAUGCGGUGGUUUUAUCUUCGCCCUUCGCCUGAACCACACCAUGAGUGAUGCUGCUGGCCUAGCUCAAUUCAUGUCUGCUGUAGGAGAAAUGGCUCGUGGUAGGCUUACCCCAUCCAUUCCACCCGUAUGGGAAAGGCAUCUGUUGGGGGCUAGAGAUCCACCGAGAGUCACAUGUAAGCAUCGUGAGUACGAAGAAGUAGAGGGAACCAUUGUCCCCUACGAUGACAUGGUCCAUCAGUCCUUUUUCUUUGGCCCCACGGAAGUCUCAGCACUUCGCAAACUUGUGCCAAAACACCUUCGUAAGUGUUCAACAUUUGAGCUAUUGACUGCUUGUUUAUGGCGUUGUCGAACCAUCGCAAUUCAAGCUAAUCCCGAGGAAGAGGUACGUAUUAUAUGCAUCGUAAACGCACGUUCCAGGUUUAAUCUUCCAUUACCUUCGGGGUACUAUGGGAAUGCAUUCGCGUUCCCAGUGGCAGUAGCACAAGCAGGGAAACUUUGUCAAAACCCAUUAGGGUAUUCAUUAGAGCUGGUGAAACAAGCAAAGAAUGAUGUAACAGAAGAAUACAUGAAAUCAUUAGCAGAUUUAAUGGUGAUUAAGGGUCGACCACAUUUCACGGUUAUUCGAUCUUACCUGGUGUCGGAUGUGACACGUGCCGGGUUUGAUGAUGCGGAUUUCGGGUGGGGCAAAUCAGUUUAUGGUGGUCCAGCUAAAGGUGGAGUAGGGGCAAUACCUGGAGUAGCAAGUUUUUUAAUACCAUUCAAGAACAAGAAAGGAGAGGCUGGAAUUGUGCUACCAAUUACGUUGCCAGCCCAAGCUAUGGAAAUAUUUGUGAAAGAAUUAGAUGGCAUGUUAAAGGGAAAGCCAAUAGAACGUAAACCCGGUUUCAUUUCAUCUUCCUUGUAAAAUUAACAAGUGAAAAUCUAAAGUUCAGCAUUGGUAAGGUAGUUUAUAAGUCAUCUUUAGGCGUGGCACUCCUUUUAUAUGUUCACUAUCUUGUAUAACUAUAUAUAUUUGGUAUGCAUGGCGUGUAAAAUAUUUCAUACUUGUAUUUUUACAUUUUAGUGGAAGAAUUAUUUUCGAUGCUUGACAAGUUUAAAAAUCUAGUUUUUUAAAGAAACUGAAGAAAUUUUGACGAACACCAUAAGUUUUGAAAAAAGUCACCUAUCGAUCCAAUUCAACCAAGGAGAAGAAGCCAAAAAUUGUAACACCCUAAAUCUGACCUAGAUGUCCAGACCAAGUCCAGAGAGUUACAUUGUCAUUAUUAGGAAAACCACAUUUGUAAACGCAGUCAAAAUGAAAUCAUUCAACAUUUUAUAACUAUUACAGUAAUUAACUAAAUAUUUAAUCUUCCCAAACAUCAUAAUAUCAGAUAAAGCUGAAAUUACUAAUAGUAAGAUUUAAAGAAAAGAUAAUCGGAUUGACCGAGCUCCCGCAGCACCGAUUUGUUCAAGUUUGAGAGCCACCUGAAAUCCAAUCAACGACGAAAUGAGUUGUAAACCCAGUGAAUAAAAGACAUCCAUUCAAUUAAAACACAUUUAUAAGAUAAUUCUCAAAUUCCAACAUUCAGUUAAAUAACAUAAGCAGUUCCAGUUUCAGAUACAUAUGCAGUUAUUCCUACCCCCAUUCGCUACACACCAUCUCCGGCCAUCCCAACACACCGUUAAGGGUGUUUAAUGCCCAACCAACCCUACACACUAUAAAGUGUCUGUCCAACACGUUUACAGAGAUGUAGGCUAGCUGCUAGAUCAAAAUGCAACAAACGCCAGAUUCAUAUAUACACAUCAUGGCUUUGCCACUGAUUCAGAGCAGAUUACUUCCACCUUCACAAUAUCCCAACCCAUGCAAAUGCAGAUUACAAAUAUCAACAAUAUGUGUUCAGUCAUUCCGAUUCAAUUCUUAAAUAGAUAGUACAUAUCAAUAUCAUUAAUAGCCAUCAUAGUACACAUACACUUAUAUAGUCCAUAUCUCAAUCUUAGAGCAUCUGAUAGACCUCGUACAAUAAAAUUCAGAUCAUAAAUACAUUGUGGAGGUCAGUGCUCAUGUUAGACAACAUUCACGACCUCACAAAAUAAAGUUCGAACCCUAUUUAUAUGCCACACGCCCGUAUGCAUGCCCAUAUGGCUUACACGGCCUAACACACGCCCGUGUCGUCUGCUUGUGUGGUUCAAAAUCGUAAACAAUGAGUCACACGGCCUAGCCACUCGCUCGUGUCCUUGCCCGUGUGGCUCACACGGCCUGACACUCGCCUGUGUCAUCUGGCAUUGUAGGUCUAAAUCUUAAUCACUGAGUCGCACGGCUUGGACACAUGUCCGUGUCCUUGCCCAUGUGACUCACACAGCCUGGGCACACGCCCGUGUCCCUGGCCAGUGUGGUCCUUAUUUUCAACUCAGUGAGUUACACAGCCUAGACACACGCUUGUGUCAUUUACCUGAGUGAACCCUGCACUAACAUGGCGACACAUAGCCUAGACAUACGUCCGUGUCCCUUGCCCAUGUGGCUUGAAUUCGGUGAACAGUGAGUUACACGGCCAACCAUAUGGCCGUGUAGUGUCGAUAGCUAUGUUUUUGGCGUUUGAAAUUCGUAAAAACAGGGGUUUUCGGUACUCACCUAAAGAGAUUUUGAAGUAAUAACAAUGUAGAGGAUCUCCGAAGCCGAAAAUUUAAUGGUGACCACUAGAAUUGACAUGUUUUUGUUCACUACUUCUGAUAUUUCCGCCUAAAUAGGAAAACAACCAAUCGUCUAUCAACAAUUCUCACAAUACACUCAACACCCAAUUCAGAGCAAGUUACGAAGAAUAAAGGGGAAAACUAUGAAAACAAAUGAAUUGACAGUGACUUACUUAAUAGCCUUUUGAUCGAUGUGAUUUAUAGAGUAUAAUUUUGACUAGACCCGUAUCUACUUACGAUGACAAUUAGAAUGAAGAAAAUAAAAGAACUGAAAAAGAAAAAGAAAGGAAAGGAAAGAAACGAUAGAAAGGAAAAAUAAAAUAAAAUAAAAUAAAAAAAAGAUGAUGACAAAUUAAAGUUUUAAUAACUUCCUAUCAAAUUUCUAACACUUAGAAAAAAUGAAUGUUCCCUAUCGCAUACUCCGGGAUUCAAUCACAGGACCAAAUAGAAUACUGACACUUAACUAUUGAGGUUUACAGUAAAUUAACUUAAUUAUGCAUCUCUAGGAUUGAGGUUGCUUAAAAUGGACUAGAAAAAUUCUAAGGAUUUGACUCGAACUCUUGACCUCGAUCUCACAAGCAGAGCACAUAACCACAGAUACAGGAACUUAAUUACAACAAAAUCCAACUUUCAAAUCAUCAAAUUUUGGGGCGUUACAAAAACCGUUUAUGAAAAAAGCUGCCUUUCAAUCUAAUUCCACUAAAGAAAGUAGGUGUAAACUCGUUUUCAAGAUCAAGUAUCGACAACCUUGAAGCAGACAUUAUUGAUUCAAGAUCUAAUAUCAACAACUUUUAAAUUCAAAUAAAAUCAAAUUCUCAAAAAAAAAAUCUCAAUCAAAUUUAACUUCAAAAUUAAGUCUUGACCCUUGAAGCAAAGAGCAUCUUUCUAAAAUUAAAUCUAGAUGACAGUUAUUUUGAAGCUCAAGAUGAAAAAUCAAAAUUUUUUUCUUUAUAAUUAAAAAAUUAAAAAAAUAUACUCCUUUCAAAAUUAUAAAUAAAAUCUGACUUCAAGUUUUAACUUAAUUUACUAUUCAAAUUUUGUGUACAUUACCAUAUGCCAUCAAAUACAUGGGAUAGUUGUAAUGAAGACGAUGACAACAAUGAUGCCAUUUAUCAAUCCUAUACAAUUUAAUUAAGAGUUAAAUAUAAAAUUGGUAUUGAACUUGUCUUAAAUUAAUAUUUAAAGUUUUUUAUUUUAGAUUGAUAUUUAAACUUUUUUUUCCGUCAAUUAUUAGUAUUCGAAUCUAACUGAAACAGGUGGCAGUAUCAGACAAUAACACCUGUCAUUAGUGACAUCAUGGUGAUGUAAUUAUUUUCCCUUUCUUUCAUUUUUCUUUUUUUUUCUAUUUUUUACCCUUCCACUUUUUCUUUCUGUCUUCUCUUUCCCCCAUUUUCUCUUUUUCUUGUCUCAUCUCCACUGCCGUCAUCGUUGUUGAUAUGAACUGCACUCUUCGGUAUGAGCAAUCACCGUCACUGUCACCGUCACCGUCUUCUUUUCUUUUUUCAUUUUCCCUCUGUUUCUUCCCGUUUGCUUUUCUUCUUAUUCUUUUUCCUACCCAGAUUUUGUUGAUUCUAGAGAACCCAAAUUUUGUUCGAUAGAGAGUUGUAGCCUGUAGGGAGAUUAUCGCCGCUAUCUACGGUGGUUUCACAGUGGCAGAAUUUUGUACAGGCGAUUAAGGAGAGAGUUAAAGUGAACAUGGCACAGAAAAUGAAUCUGUAAAAUGGCGAGGCUUGGCCAAAAAUUAGAGACGGAGUCAUCGGAAUUUGCAUCGUUGUGGCUGUUGGAGAUAGAUUCUGCAUCACCAAUGAAAAAAUGAAAAAGAAAAUAGGAAUAAUGAACUGAUUAAGUUUAACCGAUUCAUUGCAAGAAAUUUUGUAUCUCAAAAAUUAUUGUAUUAAUUUGAAAGGGGAGUCACUUGAGGCAAAGGGAAUACCAUGGCUUUCUUUAUAAUCUUACGUUUUGUGCUUUUUAUCUUCAUGUCUGCAUCUUUACUUUCAAUCGGAGUUAAAAUCAAAAUGAGCAUAAAAGUCCAAAUUUGUAGCAGAUUAAUUGGUUGUUCCAAGCUGUUUUAUGUUACCCCCCCAAAGUUUGUUGAACAAAAAUGGUUGGUUGUAAUAUGCUAUUUUUACUGAAUAAUUAGUGCCUCAUUGCUUGGAUUUCUUUCGGCUGACAAAUGGGGUGGGUUCGAAACAGAAGAAAAUCACAGUGCACUUCAAUUUUUGAACCUUAAUUCCCAAUCUCCCCUCUCGCUUCUUAGCAAGAAUGGCCUCCAAAUUACCAGACGAAUCACCAUGCAAUGCGCACGGAACAAACAAAGGAAGCAUCGUGUUCGGGAAGAAAAUGAAAAGGGAACUAACCCAAAUUUGUAAAAUAAAAAAUAUAUUUGUUAAAAACCCAUCCAUUCCAACCGAUGCUCAACCCCAUGGGUUCCUCCAUUGACAGUCCAAAAAAGGAAGAAGGGAAAAACUCCCCAAAACAAUACCAGAAUCCUUAUAUGAUAUUAUCCUCUUGACAUGGAUGAAAGUUUGAGAGCGGCUGCUCAUACCGAAGAGUGGCGGUUCAUAUCAAUAGCAAUGACAACAGUGACGAUGAGGCAAGAAAAAGAGAAAAUGGAGGAAAGAGAAGUUAGGAAGAAAAGGGGGGAGGGAACGUGAAAGGAAAAUUGGAAGGGUAAAAAAUAGAAAUGGAAAAUAAUGACAUCAUCAUGAUGUCACUAAUGACAUACUGUCACCUGUCCUAAAGUUAACUGUGUGUUAGACUCGAGUACCAAGUCGGCAGAAAAAUGUUCAAGUAUUAAUUUAAGACAAAAAAAAAUUUAAGCACUAAUUUGAAAAAAAUAGACAAAUUCAAGUACCAAUUCUAUAUUUAAUCCAUUACUUAAUGAUUACUAUAACUUUUCAAGACAAAGUUACAUUACUUUAUUCGAAGAAAACAAACAUUAUAUGUGUAAUAACCCAGUUUUGCCCGGCCCAUUCAAAAUAAGACCAACCCAAAAUCAUAACACUGCCCAAAUUAAAUACAAUUAAAUCCAAUAAAACUUGGGCCAAGCUUAACCCAAUUACAGGGCCCAAUUAACCCACUAGCCUAAAACACAAAACAGAGAAACCUAGCAGCAAUAUCAGCAGCCGCGACAACCUCACCCACGCCUCAACAUCGCCCCACGUUCAGCACUUUGCGCACGUCCUCCACGACUUUCAUACAUGCGAAAAACUAAUCCAAACGGCAAUAGAUGUAAAAAUAAUAGAAUAGAUUUUUAUUUAUUGUUUAUUAUUAUUAUUUGGGGGGAUAUAAAAGGGUGAUUUCAAUUUGUAAAAGGGGGUGAGCAAUAUUGUAUGAAAAAAACAUUAAAGAAAAUACGAAAAUAAGGAAUCAAAAAGGCAAAAUUUUGAAGGUAAUUGUUCUGUUCUUUUUUUCUUUUUAUUUGUUUUUCCUUUUUCAUUUUCUAUUUUUGUUGAUUAAAACAAAAGCGGAAGAAGGAAAUAGAGGAGGACUUACAGUCGCAUACGGCGUUGAGGGAUCUUCAUUCCGCCGUCGGAAUGGGUGGAUCUGGAGUGGAAGAAAAGGGAGGCUGCGGCAAACUCAAAAAUGGCAGAGAAAGGGAAUGGCUUUAGGGUUUUAAAAUGGGAUUUUAUAAGGGUUCAAAAGGGGCCAUUUGCGCGAUUGGUCCUUUGCUUUUUGGGG
Molecule: long non-coding RNA, 48735 nt
Filed under: Gossypium barbadense (sea-island cotton)
Lineage: Eukaryota; Viridiplantae; Streptophyta; Magnoliopsida; Malvales; Malvaceae
Description: long non-coding RNA (GBAR_LNC022635)
Source: RNAcentral